ACAAACCACAACCUCGCAGAGCAAAAAUUUUUUUUUUUUUUUUUAGAGAGAUAGGUAGCACGUUAUCCGUUUCGUUUAUUUUAUUUAGAAAUAAAUUUAGCUGGAAAUGUGAAUCAAAUAGGAUUCGAACUUGAAUCUCGGAUACCAACUACCAAAUCCUUUGCCAAUUGCUCUAAGGACGGUCGGUCGCAGAGCAAAAAUAUUAAAAACUAACUUUGCUACUAUAUUAUCCAGCAGAUUAAUCUAUUGGAAUAAAUAUUAAUUAACAUAGUCAAUGAUACGGCAUGGCACUUGCCAUGAACAAAUUUUAAAACAGUGAUGAACCACGAUUAAUUGAAUCGCCUCUCUACAGAGAGACUUUUCGUACAGAUUUUAUUUGUGUAGAAGCUGUAGAAGAAUUGUGCUGCUCAAAAAAGCAAAGAAUUGGAGAUCAAAAUGUCAAAUGAUUACAACCAACGCAUUUGAAACCACAAGUAUAAUAGAAAAAAUUUUAUUUUACUAAAAGGGUUUCCAUGUUCAAUCCAUGAAGCCUCGUAUAUAAAAAAAAAUAAAUUUAAGACAACAUUAGCGCGAGGGCCCAAUGGGUCGCACUCGGACUACCUUGCAAAUGGGCCUACUAUUUUUACUAUUCUUCCUAGGAUGGGCCAAAUGGGCCCAUAGUGUCCUAGACAUCAUAUGCAGAUAAUUAAUUACAUUCUUAGUCAAUAAUUACAUUCUUAGUCAACUAUGCUAAUGAACCUUUAUGUUUGUUAAUGUUAGGGACAGCACUACCAUACUGAUGGAAAAUUAAAACUUCCGACAGCGCAUAAUGCAAGAUAUAUAUAUUUUUUUUCACACACCAGCUUAAAUUUUUCGCUUUAAUUCUAGAUGUUUCAGAGAUAUUAGAGCUUAGUUCGCACCUCCUUCCUGGCCUAACUUAUUUCGACUCGGUUGCAUCUUAAUCUAAUUUCUUCCUGUUCUUAACCGAGAUGGCAUCAUUUUCCAUCAAUGGUGACCCUCCUACAAAAUUAAAUAAGGGGAAGAGAAGUUUCAUUUAAGUUGCUUCAUGUGAUAAGUACUUUCCACGUGAAGCAAUACAUGUUUCUCCAAAUGUCUUCUCUUAAGUUAAUCAAAGCAUUCAUAUAAUAUUAUAUUUUAUCCCUUAAAACCUUACUCAUUCACACGUGUCCUCUAUCAGAAGUUUUGAUGCAAAAUUUAAAGCUAUCUACACUUCGCCAAAACGACUAUAUAUAUAUAUAUAUGUGCAAUUAAAAAUCCUAUCACUUUGAUGUUGAAGGUCCAAGUGAAGUGUACAUUAAGAGUUUAUUUCUUUUAUUUAUUUAUUUCCUGGUCCAACUCAUUAAAAUUUUGUGUCGAUCGCUUCUAAGUUAGAGCACAAUGUGCCAUGUGUCUCGAGUCGAUUGACAUUGUAACCGAGUCAUCGAACCCAUCGCUUUUAUAAUGACAGCAACUGGUUCGACCCUGACCACAUAAUUAGUCUCCAAUUAUUUAUAUCACGUCCCUAUCCAGUGCUAUAAUUUGCUAUGAAAUUGUACGUAAAUAUCAACCGUCCGAUCCCCAUCAGGCACCAGGGGCACAAUGUGAACUUUGGACACAUCACUCGCUGCACAUUGAAUAGUACACGGACACGCUUCUCGCGUUGCCCUGUUCACUACGUACGUGUACGUACUUGACUACGAAGUUAAAGUAGAGGAGUACUAUGCUUUUGAAAGUACAGAUACAUUCGUAAUUACAAGUUAUUUUUAAUAAUGAGAUAUUCAAUUCGACGAUCAGUUUCGUUAGACACAAUAUAUAUUAUUAAAAUUAUCUAGAAAUUAAAUUUUAUAAUUUUUUAACUCUAUUUGUCUAGUAAGCAAAUGGUCUCAAAAUAAACGGUUGAAAAUAAAAAUUUUAUAGAAAAUAGUGAUAAAAAAUUUACAGUUCAAAUCAGAAAUGUUGAUCUUGCUACUAAUGUUAAGUAAAAUUUUUUAUUAAAAUUUCAUGUUAUUUGAAUUGUUUUACCGUUGAACUUAAAAAUGUAUUACAUCGACUGUUAAAAUAACUAUUUUUUAGACUUUUUGAUCACUUAGUAAAUAAUUUCGAAAAAUUAUAAAAUCUUGUUUCUAAAUAGUUUUAAUAGUGUAGAUUAUCCCUAAUAGAGCCGAUUGUCGAAUCGGAUGUCUUAUCAUCGAAAAUAAUUUAUAAGUACAGAGGUAUUGAUACUUUUGAAAGCAGAAGAUAUAUAUAUAUAUUCUGAUUGAUGGAGAGGCACUCCACUAUUGCAACUUAAGAGAGAGAGAGAGAGACCAACAACUUAUUUACUAUGCAAUAAUAUAAAAACGUUAUGCAAAUUCAAAUCAAAUAAACCAUAGAAUCAAUAAUAAAGUGGAAUAAAAAAAAUAACAAUAAAUGAUAGGAAAAUGCUACCUAUCUGGACUCUUAUGCAUAGGUAUAAAUUUUACACCCCACGCAUCCUAGAGUUUACAAAAUAAGUUGAUAAAACAAGUGAAAAAUAAGAAUCUUUGGAUGAAUAGAAUGUGAGAUGAACACGUAAUCUAAAAGUGUACGGAUAGCAUGCUCCGAAUGAUAUUCACUUGAAAUAAAAGCUACAGAAUACCCUGAAUGCAACAAAAGCUACAGAAUACUCUGAAUGCUGAAACAAAAUAAGCCAUGCAGCAGUAAACUAUUUAACAGGAAAAACAAAUAACUCCUCCAUAUGUGAAAUUGAAGUAUCACGGGUAACAUCGUUAAUCUCCCUCAUAUUAUUCAACAACAAUUCACAGUAAAUUACUAGCCCUAAUUAACCCGUCGAAUGCUUAAAGCAAGCAUAUAACAUCUAAUAUUUUACUGUUACAAACAAGAAACAUAAGCAAUGGCUACANCUUUGUACUCAUAAGUUUUCGAUCAUUUAGAGGAAAAAAAUGUGCGGUUAGAAUGAAAAUGGUUACGAUUAAGUUGAUAGUGAGCCCCCUAGAGUUGAGUGGGUGAUUGGUUGAAUAGUAUAAUCUAACAUGUGAAAAUGAUUAUAGGGUAGAUCUAAUGAUCAAAAACUUAUGAGUACAAUAGGCUCUAUACUCAUAAAAGUAUAGUAGCCGGACUCUAUAUAUAUAUAUAUAUAUAUAUAUAUAUAAAGAGAGAGAGAGAGAGAGAGAGAUAGGCUGGAAUACUAUUGAUAAUAAAAGAUAUUUUUUACUAUCAAGUUUUUAACCCUUAAAUAAAAAAUUAUAGAAUUAGAAUAAUAUUAGUCUCUUAGAGUUGAAUGGUUUUUCUAGAAUUGAGUGGUUCCUACUGAGUUAUAAUAUUUAAUUCAAUAAUUAGAAAUAAUUAAAGGAAUUGAUCUAAAAGCUAAAAAUUUGAUAGCAAAACAGACUUUUUUAUUACCAAUAAUAUUCUAGCCCAACUAGCUCAACUCUGUCUCUGUCUCUGUCUCUCUCUCUCUACAAUGACUCUUCUACACUUCGUAGAUUAGCAAGUUCAAUAUGUCUAAAAGAUUAGUGUGUAUUAAAAAAUUAGGGACUAAAUUACAAUAAUAAAUAUUGUAAUACUACAAGGACUAACCAAACAGUAAAUUAACAUGGCCCCACAUGUCAUGGUGAUCUAAGCAAGUGCACAGAGGCGUUGCACUGUGAGGACACCUCCGUUUGCGUCCGCACCAAAAUUUCCACGCGGGAGUCCAUAUCGCACAAGUGGUGCGUUACGAGAAGUUCUACACUGUCACACUUACACCACAUCAUUAAAAAUAAAUUAAUUAUUUUUUUUUUAAAAUACAAUAAAAAUAUUUUUUUAUUAUUAUAAUGGGAUAUAUAUUUUUAAAAAAUUUUAUUUGAUUAAUUUGUGACGCGUGUUACUAGUAUAUCCCGCGAUACGCGAUGCUGUAACUUUACGCGCUAUUUGGCUCGCCCGCAUAGCCACACGUGUCCGCAUGCGGACGGGGUUAGCAUCUGUGUAACGUACCCGUUGGGCUCAAUCACCUACCACGGGAGUUUAACGACUCCUAUCCGUGACGUAGAAACUAUUAGAUGCACCCGGUGCACACACGCGGCACCCCAAAAAUAUAAGCUGGAGGUCUAGUUCAAUGAUACUUAAAAUUUUAUGUCAAAAAUAAAAUUUUAAUUAAUCUUUGUUCAUAAUUAUUUGUGUCGAUAAUAUAUUACUUGAUUUUUAGAUGAGAAAUUUCAAUACAUAUAAUUAUUUUUUUUCAACUUUAACAAAUUGAGUAAACUUGCUCAAUGUAUACAAAAUAUAAAGACUCUUGAAUUCAAGGGCGUUGUGACUUAGAUAAUAUUAUUUGACUCACCAAAAUUGAAAUAAAUAAUGUGACUUUAAAAUUAAACGCCCCAAUUAAGUAUUUUAGAUUUUUGCAGUAGAAUAAAAUUUUUAAGAAUAUUUUGUUUAAUGUUUCUUUUAAAAGCCCCUCUUAAGUGUUUUAUGUCUCAUAUCUCAUGAUGUACUACUGCUGUGCAUGACAUAUACUAAUACACCCGGUGCAACUACGUUUCCACGUUCCGUACGACUCAGAGGAGCACCGAGUGGUCCUGCUUACCGCCACCAACGAACGGUAACCCUACGACACUCCCCUGCCCCUUUGUAUUUAUAUCCCUCCGCCUCCCCCCAACCUCCUCUAAACCCCUCCCUCUCUCUCUCUUUCUCUCUCUCUCUCUCUCUCUCUCUCUCUCUCUUCCGCUACCAAUGGAGCCUUCUAGAAGCUGCAGCGUCCCCGCUCUUCUCCUCUCGCUCUUAACCCUAGCGACAUUAAUGGCGUCUCCGAGCGCCUACGUCUUCUACGUCGGCGGGAGAGACGGGUGGGUUCCGAACCCCUCCGAGAGCUACGCCGCCUGGUCCUCCAGAAACCGCUUCCAAGUCAACGACACCCUCGGUAUCAAAAACCCUAAUCCCCCUUAAUCUCAUCUCUUUUUGCCUUCCCCCACACCUCCCUAAUUUGCAAUGGGCUUUUGUAGUGUUCAAGUACAACAAAAGCGUGGACUCGGUGUUGGUGGUGGGCGCGGCGGCGUACGGCGCGUGCAACGUGAGCGGCCCGGUUCAGCGGAUGGACACCGGCGACGACGCUUUCCGGCUCGACCGGUCCGGCCCGUUUUACUUCAUCAGCGGUUCAUCGGACCGGUGCGCGAACGGGGAGAAGCUCCUGGUGGUGGUGUUGGCCGUUCGAAACAAACCGCCGCCGCCGUCAACCCCCGCCGCCCCCGUUACGUCCCGCCCGAGCCCCAUCCGUUAUCUCCACCGCCGUUUACUCCCUUCCCUUCCCUCCCAUCCCCAUCCCCAUCCCCGUCCCCGUCCUCUCCACUCCCACAUCGUCCCCACAACUUCCCAGGAACUCGCCCGCCUGCUCAGCUCCGUCGCCGCCGGUCCCCGCGACGACUCCGACCUCUCCGUCGCAGGGCCGAAUGCGGCGGGACUCCGACCGCGCCGUCCUCCGGCGGCGGAGGGGCUUCUCCUCCGGCGUCGUCUUCUCCGCCCUCGCCGCCCUCCUCCUCCGCUUCCCCUGGUUUGAAAGCAUCUGGGAUCGAGAUUGCAUCCGUGGUCUCGUUGCUUAGUAUGGUAAUCUUUUUGAGCUGAUUUGAUUCCUGCAAUAAUAGAUCCUAGUCUUAUGAGAUUGUUCGUUUUGGUUCGUAUCGGAUUAUGAGAUUACCUGUUUCUUUUCGUUUUGUUUGUGAAUAAAAUGAUGCACAAUAGGAUUGAUUUUUUUUUUUUUUAUAAAUACCUAGAUUACUUUUUCCCCUGCAAACAUGGUGUGUAGAUAAAUGAAUGGUAAGGUUAAUGUAUAGUACUUAUCUAAACUAUAUUCCAUUUUGAUCCAAAUAUUUAAUAUUUUAAAAAUAAUAAUUCUGUUAAUUAUCUAAUCUUUUAUUUCAUUUGAUUUUAGUCUUUUAUUAGUGAUUCUUAAUUUUAUAUAAUUUAUGCAACAAUAGAAUAGCAUUAGAAUAGCCAUUUAAUGAUUUAUAUCAGGUAAACUGAAAUGUUGGAUAUCAAAAUCAAACUUUUCAAAAGCUGUAUAGCUGAAUCGCAAUGGGCGAAAAUUGAGAUAAGUUUUAUACGUUUUUAUCUAAAUAAAUUUUUAGUGUGCAAAAAAAUUCUGCACAUCUAGUGAUAAGAACCAAGUUUUUCUUAUUAAACCACGAGAGUUACAUGUUUGUGUUGUCAUUUUUAUUUGAGAGCGUUCUUGUACAAGUAUUGACUUUUAUUUUGGCCGGUAUUUCUUAUGGUCUUUAAUUGCCUCCACUUUUCCGCGGCAUUACUUUUGUGUGGUAUUAGAUGUUGAUGCAUUUGACCAUGAAAAAUACGUUUCUUUUACUCUGCAAGAUUAUAUAUAUAUAUAUAUAUAUAUAUAUAUAUAUAUAUUAUAUAUAUAUAAUUAUAUAUAUAUAUAUUAUAUAUAUAUGCUUGGAGUGUAAAUUUCGGCAUGAUCAGUUAUUUAAUUUAUCAUAAAAUUUUAGUAAAAUCAGUAGAUUUAAUUUAUUUUAUUUAGUUUCUGAACUUCAAUUGCCGACUCUGUUGAGGCAUUAUUUUGCAUGUUUAUAAGCCUCACAUUUGAUAUAAAAUUUACUUUUUUAAUUUGGCAUUUAUUAUAUGAUGUCUAGUGUGUAUGGGUAAGGGCUUACAUAUACCGAACAUUGAGAAAGUGAAUUAAUAAUGUCUAAUUAAUUCUAACUUUGAUUGUUCCUGGUCCUCACAAAUGAAGGUCAGAUUUUUUUAAAAAAAUUUUAUUUCACUCUUUGUGUUUUAAACUUUAUUUCCACACAGGAGUUAUUAUUAUUAUUAUUACAAUUAUUUUUGUACACACACCCUACAAAUAUUUUAAAUUAUGCAAUUUCCUUUAAAAAGUAGUUCCAUUUUUUGUGUCUUCUUGAUACUAGGGUAUUUGCAGAAAUGAAUAAGGCUGUUUCUCAAUUACGUAGGGGCAUGAACAUAAUUCACAUCAAUUGUUAUAGUGUUAUUAUGUAAGCGAAAAAAAAUAAAAAAAAAAGGGAGCCCUUUUCAAUCAAGAAAGAAGAGGCUUCAUGAAUAGCUGUGUGAAAUGGUUUUGAGCCGGAAAAGUCUAAAAUGUAUCAUAAUUAGAUUAUUUCUUUGGAUUCUUCGAUUCCAUUAUAAUUAUUAAAAUAAUAUUUUAUUAUAUUUUUUUAAAAAAUAUAAUUAAUUGCUUAUUAAUAAUGUAGUAUACUAAGUGUUACGUGACAGACAUUUUCGAUCUGAUCUAAUGGUAUAGUACAUGGAAAAUAGGAUACUUUGAAAUGAUUCGAUUCGAACAUGGAUCGAGCGCCAUGCAGACCACACCAGAGUUAAAACAUGGCAUGUAUUGUUUACGCGCUUUUUUCCGGAUAAUUGCAGCACCCAUGAGUUGUACGAAAUAUUUUUUUUAAGAGAUAGGUAGUAUGUUAUUCGUUUCGUUUUUCUUAUUUAGAAAUAAACUUAGCUGAAAAUAUAAAUCAAUUAGGAUUCGAACCGGAUACUUUAAGUAUUAGCUAUUAAAUUUUUUAUCAUUUACGCUAGAAACGAUGGAUGAGUUGUACGGAAUGUUGAUAGAGAAAUGUGCCUGUUCCUUCAAACAAUGCAUCGAUCAAUCCGUCGUUUAGUACUAUUUAUGAUAGAAUUGGUGAUGUAUACAUAAUGUUGCAUUUCCUCUCCUUUUCCUACCUCCGUACUGCUUCAAUAAUACAAUCCAGCGCUUGUAUUUAGGGUACCUCAUUUGCGGCUCAUGUAUAGUGGGGCACAUGCAUGAAUCUACCGAUCUCGCAUCAUAUAUUUUUUUGGAGAGAUAAAUAGUAUGCUAUCCGCUUCGGUUUAUUUUUUAUUUCAUCAAAAUUUCUAUGUAAAUGAGGUGGUAAAAUAAAAAUUUUGUAAAAAAAUCACAACAGAGUAAGUUAAAAAUAUGCAUAUCCACAGAAAGGUAAAGUGAAAAUAUUUAAGCCACAUGAUGGUGAAGUGAAAAGGGAAUAUACCAUAAAAGAGGUAAUUUGAAGCCUAUUCUAAAAUAAAUAAUGAGACAUGCGAGGUUUGUUGAUUUAAAUUCACAAUCUUUCACUAUAUGCAAAAUCUAACCCUUUUUGGUUAAAAGUAUGAUGUAUUUUUCUACACACACACACACACAAAAGGAACAUACAUUUUAAAUGCAGGAAGAAGAUCUUAUUACAACACCUAAUUUAACGCAACUUGGUGAGGAAUAUGAUCAUAUGAUAAUUCCACCAUGAUGUUUUCAAAUUACGCAAUGCUCAUCCUGCAUUCCAAACACAAUCGGGUAAAAUUCAGAAUAUUCUCUCCGAUCCGUAACCUUGAAGAGAUCAUAAAUUCAUAAUACACCCGAUUCUCUCCGACCCGUAACCUUUAAAGAGAUCCGGAUAUAUACACCCGAAUCCGACUGAGUCCCACGCGCGCACAAACCACAACUCUAUAGCCGUUCACUCAAUCGCAACAAUCUCCAACAACUCUUAACAAACUUAUAACAUUCCAUCCCCGUGAGCUUCGCCCGUUUAAGCAACUAACUCCUCCCCCCUUCUUACAUACAACGAUCAAAACGCAUUACAAAUUACAAAAUAAUAAUAAUAAUAAUAAUAAUAAUAAUAAUAAUAAUAAGAAACCCCCUCUAAUCCCAGAAAGCACCCAGUCCCAAUGGCUCUUCGCUUCUGCUUCCUCUUUCUCCUCCUAUCAGCUUUAGCUUUUGUCCCGUCCCAGCCGAAGCUGACGGACGCGACCUCCGUAGUCCAAUGGACCCUUUCGCGGGGGUCGAAGGGAUGCGACGGUUUUGUCGCUGGACAAUGCGCGGACGAGGACGAGGAUGAGCAAAUAGGCGCAGAGGCGGCGGCGGCAGCAAUGGUAAGAAGGGUUCUUUAUGGGAACGGGCAACGGUACAUAAGCUACGGUGCGCUUAAACGAGACCAGAUACCGUGCUCGAGGCGCGGGCAAUCGUACUACAAUUGCAAACGCCACGGUAAGGCCAAUCCUUACAGGCGCGGGUGCAGUAUGAUCACCCAUUGCGCGCGGAUUCUGCACUAGCUUAUCAUCUUUUUUAUGUUGCUGCUAUUAUUAUUACGAGCUUUUGCAUAUGCUUUUGCGUAUGAUAUGAUGUUUAAUAAUAGAUACAGUAUUAUUAUUAUUUUUUGUACUUAUCUACUAAUGUACGUCGCAAUGUGAAUUACGUUAAUAAAUGUAUUUUAUGUUCUAAUUUAUAUUUAUCCGUUUGAUUUUGAAUAAUAGGAUGAGAUUAAGGUUUUGAACAGUAAAUAUAUUGAGACUCAAAGAUGUAGCAAGAGCAUUGUUUAGAAGUAUACAUAUUGAUAAUUAAAAGUUCAUAGAGAAUGAUUAGUUAGAGCUUCUGUAAAUUGAAAACCAACAAAAAAAAAAAAAGAAAGAAAACAAAUUAAAAUUUAGGGUAGAUAUUAAGAUUGUAAAUUGAGAUCAAGUCCUCCGAAAAAAGAAAAAUGCGAAAAAGAGGAAAAAAUUGUUUAACAAUAAUAUAUAUUUUUGAUAACUACUCCAGUAAUCAAAUAAGAAACAUAGAAGGAAAAACUGGGAAAAGAAAAGGGAUCAAAAUAACCAUUAUUAAGAAUAAAAAGGGGACUCAGAAAGAACGUAGCAAAUUAGAAGAUUAAUCAUCUUCAAAUAUGAAUCAUUGUAAUUAAGAUUAUCUCAUCCUCGUCCCCUUAAUUUGAAAUAUUUUCUCUUCAUUUCGAAAAAAAAAACAAAAAAAUCAGAGAGAGAACGAUAAUGGAACAUAGGGAGCUUCCACGCCGAGUGCGGCUGCUUUAAUAUGUGCGAAGUGAAUGCCUCGAAAAACCCUAGACUCUGCUACAUGGAUUGUGAACCGUGUGAUCCGAAAUCGACGAUCGAGAAUGAAGGGCUUAUAUCAAAAUGGACUUAUAUCAAAUGGACCGGCCCAAGAUCGGCCCAUUAGUGCAAUUACUUAAUGGGUCGUUGUAGUUGAGGCCUUUUUUGUUGGCAAUGGGUCCAUUAGGCCACAUCCGAAUUGUUGAGUGCAAUAUAUGAAUUUGUUGAUUAACACACACAAGAAAUUUGCUUUAGCAUUAUCAAAAUCCUAAGAUGCAGGUUGAGAUAUUGAUUCAAUUACUUCAAUACAUUAAGGCUCCAUUCGGACUUACGAAAAGAUUACGUAACGAAUGGUGAAAAGGUAUAAUGAUAAAAUGGCAUGUUUGUUUCCACAAGAAAUACCACAUUCUGUAUCUCGUGAAUCAGUUCUGAUAUAUUUUAUAUAUUCUCACCAAAAAGUGAAAAAAAAUAUAUUUCUAUGUGCUUUUGUUCCGACUCCGUUUUAUUUAUUAGAUAGGCUUUAGUACCAAACAGAUCCUAAGAUAACCGUAGAACCAAAUCGUGCUUGGCUUUAAACGACUUGAGCCUGAUAUGUUACUGAACGGAGGCCGGCCCGAGUGCUAGAACUACAAAAAUAUGGUGUAUAAAGAAGUUUCAAAUUUGAGUUUCUACCUCUUCAAUGAGCUACACGUUUAGUAAUAUCUUCAAAUAUGCGGUCUUCAACAUUUGCUCCCUUUGUUUUUGACAUGCGUACUGAAUGAAAAGAACACUAGAAAGUCCCACGCACUUCUCAUUUUUGUGAUCAAAGAAACUCCUGUAUUUUUCGUGACAUGUUUCGGAUCCUUUCGAAAUUGUCAACAUCAACUUUCCAUUGAAGAAUCUCAUUCUCCACUUCUUGCUUUGCUACUCUUAUGUUUACACACAUUUUUUGUGAUAUGAUUGCAGGGAAUGUGUGACCUGUGGGUUUGAGCUCCAUAUAUUUAAGAAUGAGUACCUAGUGUGAGAAUAUGUGUGGUGACAGAGAAUAACAUAGGAAGGUAUAUUAGGUGCUUUUGUCUCAGUAGAGUUUUCUACUAUAUAUCUAUGAAUAGAGCCAUUGACAAGGAUGAUGCUCAUAUAAAGAUGAGUUUAUGACAUGAAAUGGAUAAAGAGAUACAAGCUUAUCCAAAAGGUUCUAUCUAGGAUUGCGAUUGUAGAUGAUGCGAUGUACUCUUAUUCAUCGAAAUGCUCUUUUGUUUUUUGUUUUUUAAACAACUUUUAGUAAGUCGUAUUUCAAUAUUAAGUACGUUAAGCAAGACUACUCUCGAGCUACUUUUCAUUAAAAUUAGCUUAUGGGUUAUUAGCAUUUACCAUUACAAAGCACAAACUUUUACCUGUCGUCCUUUUUAUUAUGUCUUCAAUUUGUCUAGUGCACAUAUAUUGUGAUUCAGUUAGUCUCUAGUAUUGUAAAUAUGGUAUUAUAUCGAUCUUUUUGAGUAAUAUAGCGAACAAAGGUUCUGUAGCUUUACUAGAGAUUAAGAUCAACUCCUUGAUUUACUUCCGCAAAGAAGCCUAGCACAUAGGAUUCUCCCAAUUUGUCUAUAUUAUAAGAGGAGGCAUAUCUUUAAGUGAGACAAAGUAGAGCAUAAAGAGGUGACAAAUGGUGGGUGUCUCCACCAUUUCUGAGAACCAAAAUGCAUCAUCUAUUUGCAUGGUCCCAGCCACUGCACUAAAUACAUAUGAGGGGAAUUAAGCCACAAUCUAUUUAUUAUGAGUUGGCCUCUUUCAUAGAGUACUCUUGAGAGAGAGAGAGAGAGAGAGAUCUAGAGAGAGCUGUACAAAUUAAAAAUGAAUUACGAAUUUUCUUAUAUUGAGGGCUUUUUUAUGUAGGAAAAAGCAAAAUUAAAGAAAAACUUUACUAGUGUAUACGUCAAGUUAGGUAAGAACACGAGAGACAUAGUCUAAGCAAGCGUGAAUUACCGGUAUAUGACUUUACUGUAAUACAAUAUUGAACAAUCAUGUAUUUUCUAAUAAGUUUAUGUUACAAGUGAAUGGUGUUUCAGAAACGAGGGACAUAUGACAAACUCCCGUAAGCUAUUUGACUCGUUGGCUGAUAUAUAUUGUUAACGUACUCCGUGCACCAGAUCAUGGGUUCAAUUCACGCUUUAAGCCCGAACAUAUGUAUUCAUACGUGGUUGCUUACAAACUUUGUUAAUACAGAGAAAAACUAAAUAAAUAAAAGAAAAACCAGCAAAUGGAGAAAUGAAGAAUACGUGGUCCAACCCUGAGCUAUUGUUUUUGGAAGAGUAGUAAAUCAUGGUUUGGGUGGGUUUGUUAUUAUGCACUUAAUUGCUGAGUCAAAGAAGACUUGUUAGUUGAGAGACUAGUCAAAUUGAAACAUGAUUGGUACCAUUGAUAGUACCAUUAAUUGGGCACUAUUGUAGAUAGAGAGAUUUCCAGAGAGAGAGAGGGGAAUAACAAGUGAAGUAUAUACAUUGACUAGGAAAUUCAAGUAGAAAAGAACAUGUGAGGCUCCAACUCAAAUGGGGGCUUUUGGUUACAGGGUCCAAACAGUGGUUGGGAAAAGUUGUUCAAAGGAGCACAACCUGACAAGUAGUGGGUGACCCUAAAAACAAGCCAAGGUCUCUCUCUUUUGGAAAAUUAUAUUUACUUGCACCAGGUGCAUCCUCUUGGUCCUUGCACUGCUCCCUCUCAGCUACCCAUUACAUCUCAUAUUAAUAUAAUUAUCAUUACUUAUUACUAUUAUUAUCUAAAACAUCGUUCUAGUAUGAAUUGGUGAUGUGCAUGGCAGAUAUUAUUAGGUAAUCAAACUCUUGAACCUUUGGAAUAAAGAGGGCUCAAUAGAUUUGGCUCUAAAACUAUGUAGCCCAAAAGGUCGAUCUAAUACAAAAAUNUUUUUUUUUUUGAUUAAACAGGGGUUCGCCUGUUUGGUAGGGGAAUACAAGCAGAGGGGACAAAGGGAGGCUUGUUCAGAGGAGAACGAGCAGAGUACAAGAGGUAGAGUGGGAGAAGCAAAUUAGUCUAGCAAUAUUGAUCGCACAAGUUUCCAAACUCGGCCACGAUCUGUUGGUUGGUUACCUCCUCCACACGUACAUCCAGAGCUUGACUAAGCAGGUGACGGUCUUGCCCAGUUCUUCGCUAGAAGUGCGGCGAUUGGUAAAGAGUCUCGAGUUUCGCUCUUUCCAUAUUUCCCAGCAAGCUGCCACAAAGCAUAAGUCAAACCAAGAUUUUGCAGCUCCCGACAACACGUUCCUGCAGCUCUUCCAUCUCGUGGGAAUGUCUCCGGCUGCUGUCCGCAGUUGAACGGCGAUGUUCUGUAAACCUGAAAGUAUCGCGUUCCACGUAGCUCGCGCAAAAAUGUCGAAUAUUAAUCUUAACAAUUGCAUGGCUGAGUUUUUUCCUUAUUCAAGAAUAAGGUGAUUUGGAUGAUUGGAUAUGUAGUAUGUUCUGAGUUAAGCGAAUGAUGAAUCCAAUGCACAUUUCUGAUAUCGUGUGCACGGUGUACACAAUGUCUUGUCACUCUCUUGUUAGCUGCACAGUCACCCCCAAUUGUUGACUGGUUGGCCAUACUCGUUGAAUUACAGGUUAAUACGAGCUCCUCUGUAAUGCCGCUUUUAUAAAUUAUAUAUAUAUAUAUAUAUAUAUAUAUAUAUACUAAUAUACUAUAUAUAUAUAUAUAUAUAUGUAUGUACAUAACUUAUAGAUACCGAAGGAAAAGUUCAAUAUACGCUCUCACAAAAAUCCAUUCUAAUUUAUGCUUCAAAGGAGAGAGAGUUAUAAAAUUCGUUGCUACUUGGAAAUUGCUGCUCUACAAUCUGAGUUCGAAUUAGGUCUCUUGUGGUUGGUUAUACAGCUGCGUACAAAAAAAUAAUAAUAAAAAAAAAGGAAAAAAAAAAAGAUUGACCCACUUGAGCCACCCACAAGUUUUUCAAAGUUAGGCCUACUAAUCAUGACUAAGUCCACUAUUAGAGGGUGGAAUAAGAUUACUACACAAAGCAACCAUGAAGAAUACACACAUUUGAUGACCCCAGUUGGCUGUACGUCUAUGUCCGCGUAUCAAUUCCUUUUCUUUCGUGUGCUUUCGCUUUAAUUUCUUACUUUUAAUACUACAAUCCCAUUCGUACGCAAAUUAGUCCUGUAAUAUCAUUUGAGUAUAAUCGAGACCGAGCCGGAAAUACGUGAUUUAUCAUCUAAGCUAACGUGGUUUGAUUCUGUACGUGAGUGAUCUUCAGAGAGAAUCGUCGCCGCUAGCUGGUGGGGCUCCUUCCAAUUGUGGCAAACAGUGCCUUACUGAGCAAACUGCUGCACCUAAGAAGUGGUGGGUCAUUUAGAAUAGUUGAAACGUUGAAUUGAGUGGAGAGGUGAGAGAUAGAUGUUGCUCUCAAGGCCGGCCCUUAAUGGGAAUGAGAUAAGAUGCUACCUUUCUCUUCUUCCUUUGUAGUGGAACUAAUUUUAGUAUGCUCCCCACUGGGCCUUUGCUUUGCAUCUUAUUAGAGAGAGAGAGAGAGAGAGAGAGAGAGAUUGGUGGAAGAAUAAAAAGUUGACUAAAGUAGUAAAGAUAUAUAUGCAUGCAAUUUGAACUUCUUUUGGAGUUCAAAUACACAGUCAUUUAAUUUGGGAGGUUAAAACUCUUAUAAACCGACUCAAGAUUAAUCCAAGAAUGUUUUGUGGCUAUUUCAUAUGACUUCUAGAGUAGCUAUUUUAGUUAGGAAACAAAGAUGGGGCAUAUGACAAUUUUAAAAGUCUAAUAAAGCUCCUACCUAUGCAAAAGUGCUGAAUGGUCCCUUUAUUAAUAAUUAAUACCAAGCGAUGCUCCCUCUUACUGCUAAUUAAAAAAUACUAAAAAAUUCAAAAAACUAUUGGUUAGCAAACAUGUUUAUUUGCUUUUGUUUUCUUCCUUUUUUGGCUAAGCUGGUAGAAACUGCAGAGUAAUUAUAAAGUUUAAUAUAUUUACCGUUUACAUUGACUGUAAAUACAUAGCUUUUAUACCGCUGAAACUUUUAUAAAUAAAUAAAUAAUUCUUUUAAUCAAAAUGCAAACUUAUUCCACCUCUCUCUAUCGUUUAAUUUAAAUUUUAAAUAUUUUAAAUUUAUCAAAACUAUUUGGAGUCCGUACACACACAGAUAGCGUAUAGUAAAAGUUUGGUAAAACGAAGUGCGACACAUUCGUAUCGAGCUUUGGUCAUGGAGACGUGCAUGUACAUUCAUGUACCACCGCAACGACUACAUCAAAUCAAAGGAGAAAGAGGAAUAAGAAUAAGCGCAGGAGAAGAAGAAGAAGCAGGAGAAGAAGAAGAAGAAGAGGGGAGAAGAGGGGAGAAGGGCAAAACAGUAAUUUCAAAGGGCUUCACAUUGAAGGGGUCCCUGAAGUCAAUGGCUCCAGCCUUUUUCUCCACGGACAUCCUUGUCUACUUCCUCCCAUAAAUUUCCCGGAAUUAAUUAUUUGGCCGGAAACCGUUGUGCAUUUUCCCAUGAAAAUUAACACUUCCCCAAAAAUCUCUUCCCCCAUUCCCCCCCACCUCCUCCUCCUCCUCUUCUUCCUCUCAAUAGAGACUCUCUGACAGAGAGAGAGAGAGAGAGAGAAAAAGAAAAAGAGAGAAUGGAAACUCACCCCUCUCCCCAACCCACUUCCCCGAACUCCACUUCCUCCUCCUCCUCCUCCUGCAACAACAACAACAACAACAACAACAAGAACAACAAUGCCACAACACCAUUAGCAUCAAAGACACCCACAACCCCGAUUUCCGCAGCUGCUCCUGUAAUCUUACCCAGAUUACCAAAUAUGAAUUCGAAAUCCGUCGAUUCGAAUCCGUAUCCGACGACCUUCAUCCAGGCCGACACCGCGUCCUUCAAACAAGUCGUCCAGAUGCUCACCGGCUCCGCCGCGGCCGCCGGGAAGCACGCCGUGGCCCCGUCGUCGCUCCCCAGAAACGCCGUCCUGCCGCCGAAGAGGCCGGCUUUCAAGCUCUACGAGCGCCGCAGCGGACUCAGGAACCUCAAAACCAUCAGCCCGCUCGCGCCCGCCUCCCGCAACUCCGCCUCCGGCUUCUCCCCCCGCCGCCGGCAGCAGCAGCAGCAGCAGCAGCAGCCGGAGAUUUUGUCGCCCAGCGUGCUCGACUUCCCGGCCCUGGCGCUCAGCCCCGUCACGCCGCUGAAUCCCGAUCCGUUCAAUCGGUCGCCGCAGCCCAAUUCGGCGGCGGCGGUGGCCGACGAGGAGAGGGCGAUCGCGGAGAAGGGCUUUUACUUGCACCCCUCCCCACGGAGCGCGGAGCCGCCGCGGCUGCUGCCGCUGUUCCCGGUGACCUCGCCGAGGGCCUGCCCGGCCUCCGCCGCGGCUACCGCUACAGGAUCUUUUCCCUGAAGCCACCGCCACGUAAAAAAAAAUUAUACAGUACUUUUCUGUUUGUAGCGACGGACGGAUGAUGUAUUUUCAGAGAUGCGGUGUUUCAAUUUGAACCGCUUCAAUUGUUGUUAUAAUGCAAUCUCUCUUUGAAUUCUCUCUUGUGGCUCCGUCAGGAGAAGUUAAUUGUAAGUGAUGAUUAAUUUUAACAUGCAUGAUUUGCCUAAGAUUUAGAUAAAUAUUAGCUUAAUUUCUCUUGAUUAGGAAAAUUAGCAGAUGAGUUUGACGGAUUGAGAGAUUGAUUGGUUUGGUAACAAGAGAAAAGAAACUCUUCUCCAUAUUAAGAACAUUCCGUUCUAACUUGUCAAUACCUUUUUUUUCGAAAAAAAUAGAUAAAAAGAGGAAAAAGAGAGAAAUUGUGAAGUGUGAACUUGUUUACAUGAUUAAAAUUGACGUGUGAAACCCCCCCAUGUCUAGUGACCUCGCAUGUGAGUUUAAUUUGCUAUCUAUGUACAUAACAGUAACACUAAACAAACUAUACAACUCAGUAAGUAUAACUUUAUACUUACAAGUUAUGCUUUAUCUUCUCCUGAUUUAUAUGUCGUCACCAAACAAAUAUCGUCACGUAUGUUAGUUUGUAAAAAAUUAUAAUAUUUAUUUUAACUAUAGUACUAAUUUUUUUUUUCUAAAACACUAUCUCUAGAUUCGAUAUAUAUUAAACCUAAAGUUGGGGACUCGAGUUUCAAAUUUACGGACGCAAAAAAAACUCGAAUCCUGUGUCUUUAAAAUAGACUAUUAGGAACAUUAUUACUAGGCUAGACUAUUAGUGAUUUGGUCUCUCUCUGCUAAAUUAAAAGCAAGAAAUAAGAGCCUAGUAGUUCCUAACCUAUGCCUAUUUAAAUAGCAAAAGAUUGUUGUUGGCUAAGAAAUGGAAAAUUUCGUCCUAAGUUAAAUAGGAAUUGUAGCUACAAGCUACAAUUUUCACUACAAAUCUUCUGGAAUUAAUACUUAUCUUAUAAAUUAUUAAUUUAUUUGUGUACAUAUAUAUAUAUGAUAUAAAAAUUUUGAUUAGUUUAUAUACAUAACAAAAUAAAAUUCAUAUAAAUUUAUCGAUAAAUUAUCAGUUCAUAGAUUACUUUCCGCUUCUUAAUUACUUUCCACUUCUCGUCUCUCAACUGCUAACUUAAAUUUUAUUUUAGUCACAAAACUUCUAAUUUUUUCACAUUUCAAACUUCAAAAGUUUAGCAAUGUUUUAAAUGAUUUCCUAAAAUUUUAAUAGUGUUUUCUUUUAAUUCUUAUUUUGGAGUGGUAUUUAAUGUUCAUAUAUGUCAUGAAUGCGUGGGUCAUUCAUUUAUUUUAUGUUUUUAAUUAGUUUAAUGGCCCAAUUUUUAAAUAGACAAAAAAAAUUAUAAUUUAAUAGAUGAUAGGAUUUAAAUAUGAGAUGAUAAUUAAUAUGUACAAGAACUGAAGUAAAACUAUGAAAAAAGUUAAUAAUUUGUUGAGUAUGAAAACUAAAAAUAGCAUUUUUUUAGAAGCUCAUAUUUUUUGAAAACAACGGUUGUUUUAUAUAAUUUAACACGAUAUCAGUACAUGAGGUUCUGAGUUUAAGUCACGCUAGACUCAUAACAUUAUAGAAUUUUUUUCAUCGUCUCGCGUUUAUCAAAAUGCCUCGAGUCCAGAUAUUUUCUCUAAAAGUUCAAGCAUUGAAGAACAAACUUUCACUAUACACAUGAGACUUAGACGAGCACUUUAGGCCAGGCUGGUCUCGCCGGCUUUUGUUUGGGCUCAGAGAACUUUUGGAUGCUAAUGCUUCUCAUCACACAAACUCCAAAGAGUGACAACAACUAGAAAAGAUCAUGAUAUUAUCCAAAAAAAGUUUGUUACUUAUCGAAAAAACAUUAUUGAAUUUAAUCGGAGUUUAUAUGAUAAUUUUGACCAGAUUCAAUAUUAAUUAUGUAACGAUGUAGGUGCAGGCAAAAUGAUCGAGGGUUCGAAGUUCCGACCUUUUAAAAGCCUCUCGGGAGGGUUUAGUGCUACCUCACUUUUUAGGUAAUUAAUUUCUCCUUGUAUAUUUGACAAUGUAGCUAGAGCGAGUUGGGACCAUGGGCGAUAGAGAAUCUAUUGAUUAGUCUCAGGUUAGAUGAACUUCUUCGCUACUAGUGUGAAGUGUGAACCAAGUGAGACAAAUGUAACGUGACUGUGCCGACACAAUAAUUCACUACUCUUCUAAAUAUUUAUGAUUGUCACUUUGACUUAUAGGAAUCGUUAUAUGGACUCUUGUACUAUCAUUCAUUCAUUUUAUAUUUUUUUUGCAUUUUUUUGUUCGGAGAAAAAUGUUAUUUACGUGGAUGAGGAGUUAGGCAAAGCACCAUUAAAAUUUGGUACUUCACUAUAAAAGUUAAAAAUAAGAGGAAUAAUUUUCGUUGUACAUCUUCUUUUCUUCUUUUUUUCUUUUUUCUUUUUUUUCUUUUUUUGACCUUUGAUUACAAAUUCGCGGCAUUCAAAGACAAAGUCCAUAUCAUAUUAAUUAAUAAGAUGAGACAUUACAAAGUUAUUAGUCUAAUCGAUUAAAAAAAAUAAUAAUAAGCCCUCAAUAAGUGUGAGAACAUCAUGCAAAAAAUAUUUCAACUUAGAAAUAAUGAGAUGGCGAUUGCACUCAUUUAACAACAUCUUCGCCUGAUUGUAUUUAAUUAGCAUCUGCCUCUGACAUUCAUUGUCUACCAAAAACGGCCAUUUCAUUUCAGAGUGUCACAUGAUAUAAUUGAAUAAUAAUUGACUUAUACUAGGGGUCUAGUUGAAGCGUUAUGAUCGCAACGAGACAUGUCGAACCAUUGAGCCUGAUGGAUUAUGUUUCUAUUUUAUUCGAUCAUGUUGUGUAUCAAACUCUGCAAAUGAAUUUUGCCUCACGCGCGACUUGGAUUAGGAAAAGAAAAAAGAAAAUAAGCCUAAAGGAUAGUCAUGUUCGUAUAGUACAAAUGUAAACAAAGUCCAACGGUUACUUAUAAUUGAUUAGUCUUUCAUUAUUAUUAUAAAUAUAAAUUAAAGGCCGAAAAAUAAGGGCGAAUGAGUCCAUUCUGAGGUAAAGAAUCCAAUUAAAAACAAAAUAAAAAAACUAAUAUCUAAUCUUCGAGGAAGCUCACUCGCGGGAUCACGCGAUCCCUCGGUCAAUCAAUGGGAAAGCAUUGCACAGACCGGGUGUACCACGUCAUCCAUGAGCCUUUUAUUUCUUUUUUAAUGUUUAUUAGAUAUUAGAUUAUAAAGCCGUAGUUGUAUUAACUCCGCCACUGAUCUUAGCACGUCCCAAACGCACGAGUUGACUCCAUUUUUAGCUUUUCUUUUGUUAUUUAAGUCUCCUUGAAAACAAGAAAAGGUGAUACAUUAUUCUAUGGUUCUGUGUUGAUAUCUUCUUUGGCACAUUGUAAGAGUGUAUAAGAGUUUUAAUUGAUUUAGAGCACGAAUAAACCGAGGUCAGCGAAUAUUAAUACCUCCAGACGUACAUAAAUUUUAAAGAGAUAAAUGACUACAGCUCAUCUAAAAAGAAAUUACUAAAGUAACGAAGAUAUAAAAAUGGCCAUAGAAACUGUUAUUCGCAGUUCUACGAAAGAGCUUACCAAUCAUGCAAUUACCAAGGGAGAAAAGCACAAUGAAGACGACGCUAAAAAUACAAACUUUGGUAUCGAAAGUUCUUAUGCGUCAAUUUUUUUUUUUUUUUUUUCCGACAGAAAAAUCUAAUGUUUUACGCCAUCUCUUGUUGCAUCAUCCCCGAGAAUUAAGUGUCUUCAAGCAAGGGACCACCUAGAGAUGAUAGAGACCUUCAUGAAAAAUAAAGCUCACAAAUACCGAAUCAACUCGACUGCAUAUUUUCCUUUCCUCGUCGUUGCGAUCUCUCCAAUCUGUAAAAAUCACCCAAAAGAGCAUAAACUUGCAAUAAAAAGGGGAAGAGAUGAAGAGUACAAAGCGAAAGACUGCAGUAGUGGAUACACAAAGCACAGUAAUUUUGAGUAUUAAUUCUUCAUAUAGUAACCUCAUCUCUAAAAAUGGCUCCUAAAUUAAUUUUGGUUCAACAUUUUUUUUUUUUUUGGGGAGAAGUUCAGCAUUUUUUUUGUUGAGGUUUUCGGUGUGCAUUCCAAGUGUCUGAUUGGUGUUGCUGCUUGAAGUCCAAUUAACUUUACGAACACAGUUAACAGAGUAAUAUGCAAGAUGAUAAAAAUUGUGAUUUACCUUCAGCCUCCCCUUUCCACUAACAGAGACGACAUCCCCCGUCUUAAGUGUAGCUCCAUUUUUCAUCACAGGUGACCAAUUCACUCGCACACCACCAUUACUGGAGGAAAGACAGCGAGAGAGGAUGCAUUAGUAAAACUAUGCAAUACGCAGCGGGCAUUAACAAUAGCUAGCAAAUCCUUGCAAUCUUAACUAAUUAAACAGAACAAUAAAUCAUGCCAGAGAGAGCCGAGCAAGCAAGCAAUUGCCCAAACCCGUUAACCCGUGUUGCAAAUCAUGACAAACAUUACGCAUAACAUAACAGCAAAUACUUGUCAUUUGAAGUAAGUUGCUGCAUCAAUUCCAAAUAAUAAGUCGUUAAAUGUAGAUUCCUUUUUUCCCAUUCAACGAAUGGCUGAGUAGUAGCAUCAUAGUCAGGUUGAUACUGCAGGAAGUUAACUGGCUAAACAAAGAGCAUAACUAGCUCUCGUAGAGGAUAGUCCUUCUAACCAAACACUAGCUCUCAUAGAGGAUAGUCAUUCUAACCAAACAGAUUCAUGUCAUCCAACAUAUAUGGUGAAAAAGAUUGAGAGUCCUCUAAUAGAUGAAGUUGAUGGAAACUUGAAACGGUUAUGGAAACUUGCAAUGAUUAAAUAGAUUUAGCUGAUGAAUAUCUUGAAUACUUUCAACAAGAUUAUAAAGUAGGGUUAUUCAAAGAGAGCGAAAUCCUUGUACUACAUUGCCACGACCAAUUCAAGGUUUCCUCAUUGAAAAUUAGCAGAUAUUUCAUGAGAAAAAAAGCUGGUUGAUACUUGCUUAAGCAAGUCAGUAGGCAUAGGACGACAUCAUUCAUAAGCAACAUAGAACCAACUGAAGCCCCAUGCAUCACAAAAAUUAGAGGCCAUAACUUACCUGAUCAUAUCAACAAGCUUCGAGCGUGAUAUUUUAAAUCCUGCACUAGCUAACGCAUCAACCCUUAACGAUGCUUCCACCGUUCUAAAUGAUUUAGUCCUAGUGUUGGACAGGAAAUAAAAUGUCAGAUUUAUCAGGAACAAGCAAAGACAAAGUCACCCAGAAUUUAGUAAGAAAAAAGUCGGAAAAAAUAUACUUAUCACAACCUUGGUGGCUCAUAUUCUAAGGCAAGCAAAGGUAUCUUAUUGCAAGAAACAGGGACAUUCCCAACCUACAGAAAUAACAAAAAAAGAUCCAUGUCAAAUUUUUAGAUUCUUAGGGAGAGAAGCACAAACAAAGUAUGCAAGUUACAUGAAUGCCAUGUUAAUAGUAAUGGAACUGCGAUCUCUUCCUGAGAUUUUCUACACAUAAAACAUGGUUGAUUAAAUCAACCAAAAAAGCCCAGAGAAUGUUCAUUCCUUGAGGGUGCGUUUGGUUCGAGUUAUCCUGACAGGAUUACAGACAAUCCUGUCAGGAUAACUGUGUUUGGUUAAUCCGCUAUGUAAUCUAGUCGUUAAUGUAGCAUUACAAAUCGAGCAAGAUUACAUCGAAAAUAUUAACGGGAGGGGGGUCGUGUAUCUUGCAUUACUGAAACCCGUUAAUACUACAUAUUAUGUAAAAUGACAAUUUUACCCUCCAACAACCCAAAAUCUAAUUAACAGUAUUAUUUUCAUCUCUCUAUCGCCGUCCCCAGGCCCUCUCUCUCGCACGCCGCUUUCUCUCGCUCUCUCUCUCGACGUCUCUCUCUCUCUCUCUCUCUCUCGCACGAACAUCUAUAAUCUUCUAUUGCGUCGUCCUCCCAAGUAAUCAUCACGAUCUCCUUCCCUCCAUUUGUCAUUUCCGUAAAAAAUAAUAUUCAAAUGACCACAACAAGGGCAAUUUUGGAAAAAACUAUACUUUUAUGUCAGGAUUACUAAAUUUUAUAAACUGAACCAAACAUAUUAAUGCUAUAAAUACUGUAAUCUAGUAUUAUAUUACUGUAUUAAACCAAACGCUCUAAUGCAGCAUUAGUAGUAAUCUCACGCCGAAAUCCAAAAUACCUAGAUAUAUCGAGAUACUUUGUAAUAUUACAUAACUCGAACCAAACGGGCCCUGAGAGUAAAGUUACAUCAAUGAGCCAGUUUCUUCAGUCCUCUAUCUUAAUAAACUUUCAUUUUUCCUUCUAAAACCAAUCUUUACACACUCUGUAGCUAUUAAAAUCUAUCCUUUUUGCUUCCAAGUAUAGAAAUUUGCCGCCAUUUCCAAUCAGUACUAAAUGAUUAUUCCCUCAUACAUAUUUCCUACUGCAUUUAAAUACAACACUAGAAAAAUGGAAGGGCAUUCACCUUCUCCAAUGCAGAAGUGAGGAAUUCAACGAGCUCGGGAACAACAAGGAUCUGGGCACCCUUGUCUCCCUGAAGAGUAGUUAAUGAGAUAUACAUGAAAAAUUUUCAAGAUAAAAAUUGCGGGUACAUAAUAAUUAUGAAUAUUUAAGAACACGCAACCUUAGACACACGGUUAUGAUGUACCUGCAAUAAUAUAUCUCCAACCUUGUCUCUCACAAUGCCAGUUCCAAGAAUUGCACCGAGGAAGUCACCAUGUGAACAGGAUUCAAACCCGAAAUUCCCUGAGAUACUGAAAAUGUAUUAUUUCAGCCAAUCUAAUUAAAAGACACAUGCAUUUAUGCGGUAAUUUUUAUAACACCUCAAUGCAGCCACUAUAUCAGUGUUAUCCAUCAUAGCGUCGGGAUGUCCAACUGAUAAGCGGCAUCGCUCAGCCUGAAAAGAAAAACAACAGAAUAAAAUUCAGAUUUAUAAAAAUGGAUUGACAAAAACAAACCAAUAUCUUCGAGUAAAGCAUAGUCAAAGAGUGGAACCUGCGGAUAGCCACCCUGUGAUACUGCUUUAAUAUCAGCCAGUUUUUCUAGGGCCGACAUAGUCUCUCUCACUACAGGUGGUGUUAGAAAAUCAGUGUGCAGAACCUCUCUUCUCGACGAAGCCCUUCGCGCCUUGUUACGAACAAAAUAAAUAAAUAACUAAAUAAAUCAGCAGCCGCAAAUCAAGAUAAAUUCCGAAAACACUACGACGUAAAUAUAUCAUUCAUUUAACACGAAAUGCAAAGUUUAUGUCGUCCAUCAAUAGAAAUCUACUUAAAUAAAGCACGCCCAAUAACCACACAUCACACAAAGUGGGAAAGUGCCUGGUUACAUAAGAGGUGCCCAUUCUUAAGCAUUUUGAGACACCUGUUAAUUAACUCAGUUUUUUCUACUUUCUUUUUUUUUUUCUGAAGAAUUAUGGGAAUGAUAGUAAGAAUAAAAGAACAUCAAUUCCAAAAAAUCAUCCUACUAAAUCUGGCUACAUAUUAAUAUCUAAGUCCAAAUUAUUUAAGCAAAAUUUGAGAAAUAAACCACAGUAAAUUACUCAAUAACCAAAGAGAAAAUGAGAAUACCACGUCGAGGACGUUCUUUACGGCCUCUGCUACAUUUCUAUCCCCAAUCCCUUUGAGCAAGGAGUCCCCACUCUGCCUCUGAGCACUCGCAACAUCGCAAAAACCUAAGAAAUCGCUAGCAAAGCAUUAGUAAACCCUAAUCCGCACCAAUCCGAGCGAAAUCGUACAUGAGGACUCCGAGAUUGAUGGUUUUUGGAAAGGGAAAAAGGAGGGAUCGAUACCUCGCGAGUAGCGGUGUUGGUGGAGACGAGGGUACGAGAGGAGUCGACGAAGAGCCCUAGAGGGGAAACGAGCGGCGCCGCCGAGGGGAAGAGCCGCGGCGGCGGCGGCGGCGGCGGCGGCUAUGGCCAUUGUCGCAGCUAAAGUGUUGGCUCCAUGGAGAGAGAGACGAAGCGGGUGUUGGGCGGAGAGGUGGCGUGAUAAGGCCCCUGUCGAGACUCGGGCUAGACCCGAAUCCAUACCCAGUGGAUUAAGAUGGUUCGACUCGAACCUAAUGAGUCAGAGAGAUCUCAUGACAAUCUUAUCCUACCAACAGAUUGUCGGAACUACCAGCAAGUGGUAAAAAAUUUAAUAAUUGAUAUUUUAGAUUUCAAAUUUGAAAUCGGUUUGUAUUUUUAACUAAAUUUAUUUUCUAAAAAAAAUGAACGAAAUGACAAAUAAAAUAUGAACUCUAACCGAUUAAAUGCAUACAUUCCAAUCACUAAUGAACAUACACUUGCUUCGUUUAAGAUAAAUUUUAUGCGCGAAGCUAUAAAAAAAUGUAUUAAAAAAAUACUACAAAUGGAGCUAAAUGUUUUUUUUAUCAACUAAGGUCCACCAUUGGAACAUUACAUCUCCCAAUUUAAGAAUUUGCUUUUAGCCAAACAUUCUAAUUAAAACUAUAGUUUACUGAAAGUAAAAUUCAAAAUAACAACAAACCAAAUAAUCAUAAAACAAGACUAAAGAAGCUUUAAAGCAGAGGAACUGAGCCAUGUGGCUACACACAUGACACAUAGGCGGAAAAACGUGAACGUGUGAGUCUAGGGACGGAGCCAUUUAGACGAAUAAGCCUGUAAUGUGACUGACGCCAUAUAAUUAUGUCGCCUCUAAAAUUCACAAUAUUUUUUUUAAAAAAAUAUUAUAUAUAUUUUUAAAAUAAUUUAAUUAGUUUGAAAUAUAAAUAAUAGGAAAACUUCAAAAAUCCUGCCUGUGGUUCCGCACUUUUUUUAUUUUAGUACUCUAUGCUUUAAAGUGUAUCAAGUUAGUAUCCUGUGGUUUCUCACUUUAUCACUUUAAUACCCUGUGAUUUAAAGUGCAUCAAGUUAAUACUCUGUGGUUUAAUUUUGGUAUCCAGUUAGUAUCAUGUGGUUUUAUUUUUAUAUCAAAUUGAUAUUAUGUGGUUUUUAAAGUAAUUGAUAUUAUGUGGUUUUUAAAGCAUAGGGUACUAAAGUGAUAAAGUGUAACCACAAAAUAUUAAAGUGAUAAAAUGCGAAACCACAGGAUACUAAGUUGAUACACUUUAAACUAUAGGGUACUAAAAUAAAAAAGUGCAAAACUACAUGAUACUAACUUAAUAUAUUUUAAACCACAAAAUAUUAAAGUGAAAAAAAAAAAACUACAGGAGGUAUUUAAAAUUUUUCCUAAAUAUUGUGAAACUGGUAUGCAGAAGACCGCCUUUCGGGCCACCACACCGCACGGAUCCGAGUUCGCACCGCUUCCUCGAAGAUAUCGCCGUGCUUACGUGGCACAAACACCACUCCACGUGAGACACCCACUUCUACACCGGCGUUAUCCCAAUCCCUUGCCGUCCCACACGUCUCAGAAAAAAAAAAAAAAAAUGACGUCUUUAACUAAUUAAAUAAUUAUUUUAAAAUUAUUCAUCUCAUUAUAAUUAUAAAAGAUAUAUUUAUUAUUUUUUUUAAAAAAAAAUUGAUUGAAUUGUUAUUGAUAAUGUAAUGCAAAUGUAAUACAGUAAAUUUUCUUCACGUCCCAAAAGAAGGAUUAUUGCGUGCACCGCGGUUUAUACUUUAUACACUAGACUCUUUUAAACUCAAAAAAUCUACUGAUUUUAUAUUUUUGAAUAAAAUUUAUUGGAUGUAAUCUAUGAUGCUAUGAAAUUAUAUACUUCAAAGAUUAUAUUUUUUAGUAAUCUUUAUUCCAUACAAUAAAUACUAAUUUUUAAUAAUAUAAAAAUAAUAAAUAUUUCAACAUUGGUAGUUUUAACGAAUACUUUGUAAGUUAUAAAUAAAUUUCUAAAAUUUAUAUAUUUUUUAAUGUAUGAACUAUUUACUUUCUGUACUAAGUUUUUAAAGGAAACGAUUUGUGUUGUUUAUAAUCACACGAUAGAAAAUUUUAAGACUAAAUUAUCGAAAAUCUCAUUGUAAAUAUUUACUUUUCUUUUUUUUUUAUGACUUUUAAAAAUCUAUAGUUUACCUCUUAAAAUUUUAAAAAUAUUUUUAUGAGGUACAACGUUAAUGAAAAAGACAAAAUGAUCGAAUUACCCUAUAUUCUUCUAUAAAAUAAAAUAUUUUUAAUAUAUUUUUAUUAUUUUGAAAGAUAUUUUUAAUAUAAAUUAUAAAAAAUGGACAGAAUAGUAAUAGAAUCCUAACAGAGAGAAAGUAAAUAUAAUAACUUAAAAUAUUGGAAAGGUAAAAUAUAAAUUUUUAAAAAUUAGAAAGAAAAUGUGAAAAAAAUAAACAUUUAUAAAAUAAAAAAUUGUGAAAUUUUAAUAUAUAAAAUAACUGUAUUACCGAUGAGUAGCGGAAUGCAUUUGUACUAUCUGAUAUAGAUAGUUGAAAUACAUGGGCCAAUAAGUCGUCAUUUUCUUCUUUUUUAUUUUUGUAAGCAAAAGUUUUUUUUUAUUUUUUUAUUUGUGCACGAUGUAUUUCUCUUUUAAGACCAAUAUUAGAGUGCCCAUAUUGUAGAAACCGUUCCAAAUGGAUGUGGCCGACUGACCUUGUGUGCUUCUUCAGGCAUGAUACCGACUGUUUUUAGCGCAAGUGAUAAAAAAGACUUAGUAAUUGAUAUUCGAGAUUUCAAAUUUAAAUUCUAAUUGAUUCACAUUUUUAGUUAAAUUUAUUUUUAAAUAAAAUAAACGAAGCGGGUAGCAUGUUAGCUAUCUCUGAGAAAAUUUUUUUUAAAAAAAACAACCUUCAGACAGAGGUCUACUAUAAAUGAGCGCCCGGUGUAUAGACGCGGCGCAACAAAAAUUCUACCCCUAGUGGGCCCCACCCACUUCUCUGUGGGGGUUAAAACGUGCCGUAUAAAAAAUGAGGCAAUCGCUGAAAGGAACCGUUCCCAUCUCUUUCUCCUCGAGGUAAAAUUGAAAAAAAAAAAAAAAAAACUAAAAAGGAGGGGAGAGGAGAUCUUUCUCUCCCGAUUUCUGCUCCCAAUCUUUUACCUCAAAGAUCCCUCUUUUAUAUACCGUAGAAUCUCAACCCAUUUCCAUUUCCAAUUCCAUUUCCAUCGCUCCCACCAAAAUCGCUUUCCAAGGGUCGCUCGCGGGGACCCCCUUCGUCUCCUCUUCUCCAUCCCCGCGAUCCGAUCGGGUCGCUCCUAGAUCGAGAUCUUUGGAUUGAGGUAACGAUUCGAUCCGUUUUACCUUCGAUUUGGUGAUUUUUUGCUGUUUUUUGCUUCGAUUUGUUGUGCAUGUGUAGAUCGAGAUCGGAUUGUGGUUUGAUGAUGCCGAUCGUGCCGAUCUGUGUUUUUUGUUAGAUCGGAGUUGAAUUCUCGUUUUGCAUUGUAGGAUGUGGAGUUUGAUGUCUCGAUCUGAUCGUUUUUUUGCGUGUAAUUAUCGUCUGUUUUUCUUUUUAUGAGUCGUGAGAUUAACUGUGUUGCGAGGUGUUUCUAGUACGGUUUUUUUUUUUGGCGGAGUGAAGAGAUUGAAUUAGGAAUCUGCUUUUUAAUUGAAGGAUUAUGCAUGUGUAAUCGAAGGUUGGUUAGGAGCUGUAAAACUUGAUCUAUCGAAUUUGUGUUCUAAGAAUCAUUUGAUCAGACUCGAUCAAGCAAAUUUGGUGCGAGGUAGAUUUUGCAAGAGAAAAAUGUCUUUGACGUGUCUGAGUUGGUUCCUUUUGCAUUAUUGAUUUGAAUGGAAGCAUGCAUGCAGGAAGAGAUAAGUGUCUGUAUGAAUCACUUCAGCAGGAAAUCCUUGUGGCAUUUUUAUUGAUAAGUUGCCAAUUAAGUUGCGCUUGAAACAUUAUGCGUUAUUAUCCCUUGAUGUUUGUCAUACAUGCUGUGAGAAAUGUAAAUUGAAAUUUCUUAAACACUUUCUCUGAACUAAGAAAAAGGAGGCGGUUACGCGGUUAAUGUCGCUCCUCCUUGUCUUUACUGGGUGUUGUUGCUGUUAAUUUAUGUUCGCCAUGACACUUUUGCUACAAAAGCAUUCAAAUAGUGUCUUCUAUUUAUCGUCAGAUAUUAUUUUCAUCUAAGAAUUAGAUUCAUGAACUAACUACCAAACAUGCAUCAUGUUAUCUGAACAUGCAUUCCCUUAUCUGUAAUAUGUGGAUAAAACAACUAUAUAGAAGCAUUCAUUAUCAUGAAUGCUUUAAGCAUUCAUCUGUAUCUAUUUUCUUCCUUUUUCUCGCUUCAAUAAUCUAACUUUUUAACAAGUGUGCAAUAUCCUGAACAUGAAAAGUUCUAUCUGUAUGUGCAAAAUUUUCAGCUAGUACAUUUAAGCUUGUGAACGGUGAUUAGCUUCACCACCUUGCUUCACUAUACUUUAUGUUUUGCAGAGGCUAUGGGUAUGGAGAUUCUCGGAGCUGAUAUUACAUCAGGACCGGUCAAAAUGGUUGGAGAGGAGAAACUUUCAAGUGAGAUUGAAAAUAAGGCUAAAACAAAUCUGGGGCAGGAAGAAGAGACUACAAACGUUGGUACAGUUGACGGCUCAAAUGGAGCAAAUGGGGAGUUUAAGGACAAGGAUAGUGCAUCUCAUUUCCCAAAGGAUGCUGUUGAUGAGUGGCCUGCACCUAAGCAAAUCCAUAGCUUUUAUCUUAUCAAAUUUCGGUCUUAUGAAGACCCUAAGAUGAAGCUCAAACUUGAACAAGCCGACAAAGAGAUUCAGAAGAAGAACCAAGCUCGUUACCAGAUAACUGAAGCCUUAAAGGCAAAGAGGGUAUGUAAUGCACUUGUGGCUGUUGUAUGACUCUCAUGAUAAUCGUUGGCCAUAACCUGAAAGAUGACUAGGAGGGGUCGUGUGGUUUAAGGUUUCUAAUAUUUUGGAAAUGUUGUAUAUUUUAUAUUUGGAAUAGCAAGUUUGUUAUUAACUUAUCAAGUCACUUGGGUUGUGAGGUUGUUAAGAAUUAGUAUCUUUUUAUUAAUGGACUACUAAUGAUUCCCAUCAAGUAUGAAAAUAAGGAUACCUCAUAACCCAUAAUAAUCUAGUAUUCCUACCACCUAAGAAUCUACUAUGAUUCUACUACUUCACUAACACCUUUUGCAAUUUCUCAACUUGAGUUGAAUACUAAUGUUUUGAAUAUUUUCAAUAGAAAAUAUAGAGGAUUAUCGGAAUAGUACAAACCAUGAACCAAGCAGGCUCUAAAUGAAGUUUGAUACUUUGUAACUUUCUUAAGUGUCCAUGCCCUCCAGUAGUCAAAUUUAGUGUGUUGAUUUUACAAAUUAUUUCUGCAACAGCAAGGAAGUCACCUGAAUCUUCAUAAAAAUCGUUACCUAUCUGAUACCUGUUUCUCUAUUCUAUGCAGUCUGAACGAGCUGGUGUUGUUGCCCAGCUCAGGCCUUUGACUUCAGAGAACAAGCAAUACAACGAAGCUAUGAAUGAGAAAAUGAAGGAAAUGGAGCCUCUCCAGACUGCCUUAGGCAAGCUCCGUAAUGCAAAUAAUGCAGUGAGAGAGAAGGGCAUAGGUUUGUGCUCUUCAGAGGAAGAACUUAAUGAUCUGGUAAGCCUGAAUUAUCUCAACAUUUUGGUGUUUCAUAUCCAAUUAUGGUGAGUGUGAUAUUUGCCUUUGUCUUAUCUGAGUAGAUUAAGAGCAUACAUUAUCGUAUCAGUCACGAGAGCAUAACCUUAGAUGAGGAGAAACAGCUGCUGCGUGAAAUUAAACAGCUUGAAGCAACAAGAGGAAAGGUGAUCUCUCAAGCUGCUAUGAGAGCUAAGCUGCAGGAUUCGUUGGGUCACAAAGAAGCUAUCCAAGACCAGGUUAAAGUAAGGUUACUUCCCGUCUAUUAUGUUUUCUGUCAACCAAGUAUCUCGUGCAGUAAUGUUCCAACCCAAAAUUUGGGAUUGGUGUUAAAUUUAUCGUGCCUUUUGCAGCUUGUAGGUGCCGACAUGGAUGCUGUCAAAAAGGAGAGACAAGCAGUGAGGGGAAAAAUUAAGCCUCUGGAGGAGCAACUAAAGGCCAUUGACGCGGAGAUCAGUUCUCUACAAGAUGAACUGACUUCUGUGAGUGAAAAGAAGGACAAGGCAUUUGAGAACCUAAAUGAGCUGAGAAAAGCACGUGAUGCAGCUGUAAGUAUCCAAUCUUACGCGCAGGUUAUAUGUGAUGGAAUUUAUCCACAUGAUCCUACUUGAAUUAUUCAGUAUUAUGAUAUGCUUGUUUUGUUCUCGUAGCUCAGACUUUGAUGUUGGCAUUUGUAACUUGCUUUUACUGCAAGGUCUGCUUCUUUUGUCUAGUGCCUUCUUCCUAGAGUUAUGGUGCCAUUACUUGAACCAUUGUGUCUGUCUUUCAGAGAAUACAUUUAUUUCAAACUGAUAGGAUUUAAUACCGAGUCAAUAAUAAUGCUUUCGGAAACACAUAUGAAGUGACCAUGUACGCUAGUUUUAAAAGGUUUGUGCUGAACCGCUGUUGAGCCUGACCAAAUUCUAGAAUGAGAUGGACAGCUCUUGAAAGAUUAAGUAACUCUUUUUGAAGUUUCCAGUUUUUGCGUAGCAGUAUAUUUAUCCCAACAUUGAUGAUGUUGAUGAUGGUGAUGAUGGUGGUGAUGAUGAUGACGAUGAUGGUUAUUACAAGGGUCUAUUUCUGCCAUCAUUCAUUGAUAACUGUCAUGGUUUAGAGGUUUCCUUAGGUUUUCAGUCUGUCAAAGCUUCCUUCCGGACAUUUAUUCAUAUAUGCAUACAUGCAUAGUACAUGGACAUAGCUACGUCCAUGUUUUAUUCUUGAUUACAUGACCUGUCAUCCUCCUGAACUCAAGAAUGUUGAUUUGUUCAUGAUGUGUCCAUGUUUCAUUUAAAUUGUACUAUCUGCUAGAACUUACAUUGUUUAUUUUUCUGGUUUUACUAUGUUUCAGAAUUCAUGCUACUUCCAAAACCGUUCACUCUUGAAUAAUGCCAAGGAACUCGCUGCAAAGAAGGAUAUAGCUGCAUUGGAAACACUUGCCCACAGCGAGGUGUCUAUUUAUGACAUGCUAAUCCGCUAUGUGUUUCAUUCAUCUUUAACCCUCUUGUCGUAACUUUUCUUUCUUUUACACAUUUUACACAAUAGGUAGAAAAGUUCAUGUUGCAGUGGAGCAAUGAUAAAGAGUUCAGGGAAGAUUACGAGAGGAGGAUAUUGCCAUCACUGGACAGCCGGCAGUUGAGCAGGGAUGGCCGGAUGAGAAAUCCUGACGAAAAGCCCAUCAUAGCUCAGGAGACUCGACAAAGUACAGAAGCCGAGGUGGCUCCAAUAAAAUCAACUGCAAAGCAGACAAAGGAGGCCGCUGGCCCCAUUUCACGAGCGGACUCUGCCUCUACUGAGAAGCUCCGUGACAAGGAGAUUGCUAAGGUGACUGAAGUUGAUUCGAAAGAGAAGAAAGGGAAUUUAGAGGAUACUGUAAAGAGCCAUGAUGCUGAGAAAACCCAGAAAGAGUUACCUAAAAAGCCGGAGAUUGAUGCCGAAACAUUGAAACAAAUGAAGAGAGACGAGCAGAUUGCAAAAAAUAAGUUGGCCUUGGAACGGAAGAAGAAGUUGGCUGAGAAAUCGGCAGCACAAGCAGCGGCUAAAGCUCAGAAGGAGGUUGAGAAAAGGCAAAAGGUUUAUUCCUCGUCACCUAUCCUUCUUUAUAUUUGAAAAUGUAUCUGGAUACAUUUUUUUGUGUAUUAAAUUACAUAAUCCAUCAUUUUAUUUUAUCUCAUUUGCAAAAUUUACUUAGCGACUUCAAUUUGAUGCCGACAUUCCACUAUUAUUUGCUAGUGAAAUUUGUCCCUUAUAGUUUGAGUUGGUGCUGAAAACUCACUAUCUAAUUUUGUGGUGAAUAUUACGGGCCCAUUAUAGAGGCUCAAUUUAACAUUUUGCAUUGAGGAAACUUUUGAAAUUUUUUUGACAAAAAAUCAAUCAUUGUGGACCAAAUUGCGAUGGGAAAAAAGUUGGGGGAUUUUUCUGAACUAAACUUUAGCUAGAGGAUCAGAGGGUAAUUAAGCAAAACUCUUUGUGCUUUUGUCAAUUAAACCCUUCUUUUUCCCUCAGGAAAAAGAAAAGAGAGCUAGAAAGAAGGCUGCAGCACAAGCACCUGGUGUAUCUGACGAGCUGAUUGAAACAGAAGAAAAGAACACUGAAGAGGCAGAAGCUAAGCCUGAGGUGGAAACCCUGGCUCCAGCAAAAGCUAAGGAACUGAAGGAGACUGUUAGGUAUAAAAACAUCCAAAAGAAUCAAAGUCAACUUCCAAAGGUUAUACUGAAGAGGAAAAAAUCUCAUCAGUCUUAUUGGAAAUGGGUGGCUCCUGCUGCGGCACUUGCUCUGGUGCUUGCCAUAUUUGCGUACUUAUACUUAUCGCGGGUGAACUAAAAUUGCCGGCUGUAAGACCAUUUUUGAUUCUGAAGCACACCACAGUUUUAAUUCAUAAUCAUCUGUGCUGUGUUGGACCGAUCUCAUGUGGUUCUUUCUCUAGGAAGCAGCAAAGAAAGUUUACUUUCGAAAAAGAUAUUCACAUAUGAUACAAUUGUUGUGGAUUGUAAUGUUUGGACUAAGUUAUUUGCGCUUGCAAUAUUUAUGUUUCCUUUAAUCUCGAUACUGUUACUUCCUACUUUGUAGUCGCAGAGUCAAUAAAACGUUCUAAAUAGCCAUGGGGUGCUAUGAUUGCUUAUUCUUAUCAGGUUGCUGGUGAGGAUAACAUGUCCUCACCAGAAUAAUGUAUUGACAGAUAAAAGUUGCAAACUUUAUAGUUUAGAAGUUUGUUCUUGGCAUUAAUAUUUGUGUUCGGAUACGCAUUUGCUUUUGCAGUGAAUUUUUAUUAAAUGGAUUGGUGAACCUGGCAUUCAGCAGCAUAUCCAUGGAUGAUUUGGGUUUUUUUUUUAGCUUCCUUUUCUUUUAUUUUCUCAAAAAUUUUACUGUGACACUCCAUGUUCUUUGUAGUGCUGGUGAGUGCAUUAUACGAGUUGCAGUUCUCAUGGUUUAAGAUCCAUAUUGAUUGAUGUCGACCUGAGAUUUUUUUUUUUUUUUUUUUGAGAGAAUUGUAACAUUUUACUUCAUUCAUGUUACUUCAUUCGUUUAUUUUUUCUAGAAAUAAGUUUAACUAGAAAUGUGAAGCAAUUAGACUUUGAACUUACCUAAGAAUAAUCAUAAUCAUCCCAAAGCAAUAGUAGGAAAAGAUUUAAAGAUUUUGCAGCAAUUGUGGAAGCAGAGAUGAUUUGCACUGGUCUGCACAGUGUGUGUGCAGUGUAAGUUUCCACUGGAACUGGAUCUGCACAGUGUGCCACUUAAUUUGUGUAUUUUCUUUUUUUUUUUCUGAUAAUACAGCUUUUGCAGCCCAGAUUCUCCUUCUAUCACCAGGUGCGUGGAGUGCACCAUUUUAUUAUAACUUACACAGAUCCCUUGCUACCGUAGUUUUCACAGGCAACGGAUGUGUAGAGAGUAUCACUUUGUAGUUUAUAUUAUUUUUUUUGAUAAUAUAGUUUUGGUGGUCAGAAUUUUGCUUCCAUCAACUUGUAAAAGUAUAUCCAACACUACGAGUAAAAAAUAAAUAAAAAAUGCGGACCACGUUUUGCUGAGAAUGGGGAAGGGAGUAGCCAGACACAGUCAGUUGCACAGUUCAUCUUCCAAAAGACCCCAACAUAUUACGAUGGCUGAUCUACAGCAUCAAUUGUGGUACGGAUAGAGGUGUCUCCUACAUCAGGUUAAGCCCACCACACAUAGAUCUGAAACAAAUUUGAAUUAUCAUGUUCGUAUGCUAAACUCGUAUCUUACGGCUUACAGAUCCCAAUAGAAUUCAUUUAUUUCUGAUUUUGAUAUCAAUGUAGAUCUAGCUUGAAUGCUCAAUUUCUGAAACUUAGUGUAUAUUUAGUCUCGUUUCCAUCAUUCUUCCAGCUACACCUAGAGACAAUCUCUAGUCGAAUGCCGGUAAACGGAAAACUUCAUUUCCGCCGGAGAUGCAAAAGCUCCAAUUGUCUAUUAUUCAAACCUUAUCUCUCCUAUCCUUUGAUGAGAGGGGGGCCUCUAACUAAGGUCUAAGAAUUAACAAAGAUGGCUCAAGCCAAGUUGCUACCAAUAGCGCUUCAAAUAAUCUUGCUGCUCUUUUUGUGUUCAUCAGCAUCAGCAUCAUCAUCAUCAUCAUCAUCAUCAUCAUCUCAUGAUGGGAGGAGUAGAGCUUUGCCACCAAUUUUUCUCCCACAAUUGCAUCCUUGGUUUGGUAAUUGCUGUGGAAGGAGUCAUCUGCUGCAAAUCAUGCAAGAUCAAGGGCUACGUUUGCUCCAUGCAUGCAUCCCCAGUUCCUGGUUUGGCUCUGUAACUAAUUUGCUUAUAGCUAUUAGUUCUUGCGUAAUCUCUUUCAGAGCGUGUGAAGCUACAGCAUUUGUCAAACGAGACACACAAAAAAAAAGAUCACUAGCUUUCUAACUCUGAAAUAAUUUUUUUUUUCUUUUUUUGACAAAGAGUGUCAGUCAGCAGGAAAGGUUGACCUAGACGUUGCUACAUUAAAAAAAGAGCCAAUUCGCUUAAAAGAAGGUCCACUAUGAAACAAGCUUUUACACCCAUAAUGAGGCUUUAGUUUAAAACUCGUGAGAGGCUCCUGAUAUUUAUUUCCGUGGUAACUUACAAAAAAAAAAAGUAUUCCCGCAGUAAUACAUCUCCUAUAUCGAUUUGUUUUGGAUCUAUAGAAAGGGAAAAAAACAAAAUCCAAUCGUUGUGAUUGUGUAUCUACCAUUUACAUUUUUGAUGUGGUUGCCAUUUAGCCUUUUUAAUUAAAUAUGUUUAUAACACUUCCUCUUUGCCAUACCAAAUCGACUCUAAAUUUAUAACAAAUCAUAUGUACAUCAAUCUUUAUAAUGAUCGGUCAUGCAGGUGCAGUUGCAAGGCUACUGUCACAGCCAAGGCCACACAUUAUAUUUUUGACAUAUAUCGAAAUAGAAAGUGAUGAAACUUAAGUUUCACCCUUCCACUUACACCAAAACAAACAGCCCUCAUAAGCAACCAUAGCAUUUUUUGAAAAAAAAAUAAAAAAAGGUACUAAUUAACAACUGGCCUAAAAACUAAGAAUGCUAGAUACGAACUAUCAAAAUCUCGGCCGACUGCGCUAGGUACAAUUGAAUAAUAUAAUUUUUGAAUAUCUUAAUAAUUUUUUUUUUAUGGCAAGCUAAACUAACUUUGUCAAAAGAGUCAAGAGCAAAAUAUACAAAGCCUAGUGUAAAUUUAUUAUAUUAAUUUAACUAGAAAGUUCAAUUGAGUGCCUAAAUCUAAGCAGGAUUAAAUGGACUCUUCCACAAUGACUCAUCUUUUUCGGGUUUGCUCCAUAAAUUUAUUUUAAAACAAGUGGAAACUAGUAUCAAUCCAAUUUACUAGAGUCAUUGUAAAAUUAAAUUGGGCUCUCGAUCUGAGUCAAUAUAUAGGUUACUUUUCACACACGGUUUGUUCGAAUCUUGAGAUCUCAAAUUCCUAUAAUCUUAUACUACAAGUUGGAUGUAUAUGAUAGUUAAUUAAUUAACUUGAUAUUUCCAAGGUAAAACUCUUAUAAUUAAUGUAUAUUCGCCGUGUUGGAAUUCACAAACUAAAUGUGUCUCCGCAUUCAACCAUAAUAUAAGUCCCUAUUUAGCAGAGGAUAAGCUUGUUCACAUGCGAAGACUUAUCAAAUAUUUACUAAUAUACAGUUAUUUUUAAUAUAAAUUCUAAUUACGUUGUUUUUCAUAAGAUCCUUCUUUUGAAUAAUAUGACUUGAUGAUGAUGACCGGUUAUUCACCGACACACCAAUCACAUCUCCCGGAAGAAUUAAAUGAUCCGAGCCCAAACUCCCACGCCAUGACCCCAAUCCCCAACACCUCCAUGCAUGGGUCAACUAACUCCAACACUAUUUUAAUACAUCUAUCUAAGCACACAUUAUUUGUUUAUACACUUUAAUCAACUCAAACCACCCCGGCCUAUAUAUAUAUAUAUUAGCUUUAGUGUUACCAUGGUUCAUUUCAAACUAACCACUCUUUUGUUUUCGCUUUAGAGGGCCUAAAUGAUGGCUAAUUGGCUCAGGUUGUUCACCCUCUCUCUUCAGCUUGCGCUGCUACUCCUAGUGUUUCUCUCUCCUCGGCGUGUCGUCGCCGUCGGCCUCCCGAAGCCACCCGUAAAGUUCAGCGUCGGAGUGGAGGGCAUCGUCUUCUGCAAAAGGUGCAAGUUUCCCGGCUACAACAGGGACAUGGAUGCAUCUCCUAUUCCUGGUUCGAUUUUCCCUCUUAAUAUUUUGUUUCGAAAGAAAAAUAGUAUACUAUUCGCCUUGUUCAUUUUUAGAAUUGAAUUCAGUUACAAAUGAGGAGCCAACAAGCGUUAAAUUUGAAAUCUUGAAAAUCAACCAUUAAAUUCUUAACCAACUGUGCUAGAUAUGAUCAAUAAUUUUUCUCCUAAUCUUGUAGGUAAAUGCUUUAAAACUUACUAAUUCUUUUGGUCGUUUAAUUUCUUUCAAUGGUUUAGAAGUUGGGCUGCAAAAACUUUUGAAUUCUUUGCAGACUAUAGUGCUUGCUUAAUCCUACUUUUGCUUUUAUUUUCAGUCGCAAUCAUAUUUACUAGAAUACAUAGUAAAGAAAAAUGUAUAGAAUUUCUACUAUAAGAGAAAGCUACUAUAAGAUUUUGAGCCCCAAAACAAAAGCUCUAAUUUGGAGUUUCUAAUUCUUUCGUUCCGAUCGUGUUCGGAUCAAACAUCGUUUCCUUUCAACAGUUGUGGGCUGAAGCCCAGCCCGAAACAUGCUGGAUUUUUGCACCGGGCCUCAAGCUCGGUGUGGGUCGGGCCUAACCAUGCUGGUUCCAUCUUAACUCCAAAUUACAACGCAUAUCACAUAUCUUUUCUCUGAGGAUUCAUCAUCACAUUUAAUCUUACUCAUGAAUAUGAAAUUUUCUAUUUUUCAUCCCAUAGGCGCCAUCGCCACUCUGCGCUGCUACAAUGGCAGACGAGCGGUCUCACUAAAGGCGAGAACCGACAACAAUGGCUACUUCUUGAUCCAGACGUCGAGCCUGACAACCUUCACAAGCAACAAGUGCAGAGUCUUUGUUAAACCAUCACCGACGACAUCGUACUGCAACAUCCUCGUCUACCCACGGAGUCCCGGGGCUUCCCUCAAGUUCGAGAAGGUUCUGAAGCUCCCCUUCGGCCUCGAGGGCCUCUACACCGCCGGCGUCUUCGUCUUCGCGCCAAGCGUCCCCACAUGUCCCUCUCACCCUUGAAUUAAAUUGAUCAGUAUGUAGUGAAUAUGAUUAAUUAGGGUGAUUAAUUUGAUGGUGAUGGUUUAAGAAGUUGCGAGUAGAUGGAAAUUAGAUAGUUAAUGUGGAGUGAAUAAAAGCUUAUGAUGUUCGAGUGAGAGCUCAAGGGCUAAAAUGGUUCGUGACAUGGGAUUUUUUUUCUCUUUGCGCAACUUAUUCUGAGUCAACUUGUUAUAUCGAAAUAAUUUUAGUUUGCAUUCAAUUCCUCUAUGUUUGUGUAAACUAACCGUAUUUUAAUGAAUAAUUUAGUUUGCAUUUUGAUCUUUCUUAUGAAGUUCUUAAGUUGCAUCUUUUGUGCACGACUCCAUGGUCUGGACUUUUGCAAUAUUGCAACUUAAUUAAAUAAACAAUUUUUGCUUAAAUAAUUUAGAUUUUAAUUAUUCUUCUAAUACAUUUAUGUGGCAUCUUAGACACAAAUUCUUUUAUAUCACCCCAUCAGAAAUAAGAUAAAAUUCGAAAAUCAUGUAAAAAAUUUAAAGAAAAGGAUAAAAAUUCAUGUUGCCCACGAGAAAAAGGGUCAUAUAUAUAUUGAAAACAUGGUAAAAUAAUUUUUUGUGGCCAACCGAAGCUGCUGUUGAUCCGUGCGAUCUAACAAAAAUUAGGAACUAAAUUAUUCAAGUAAAAAAUUUAUAAGAGCUAAGUCAUAAUUAAUGUCGCAAAAUAUAGGAGCUAUUCAUGCAUUUUGUCCCGAUCCCUUGUCUAUAUCUUGGAUCCUAUCGUUGCCUAACUAGCUAACUACGUAAGAAUAAAAUUUAGUACGGUCGGUUUUAAUGUUAGACCAUUUUAUCCGCCAUUUAUUUUAUUUACACUGGCCGAGUCCAAACACCCUUGACCACACGAUCCGGUCCACGAGCCGCCCCAACCUCUCUGCUCCUAGCCCGGGCCGGACCACGUUGGGGUCGGCCACCUCCGAGCACGGUGGCUCCCCCACACACCACCCGCCGGGGACAAACCCCCCGCUGUUCGACCGCCCAAGCAACUCCGAAUCAAUCAGGUCCAGCACUGGCUCACCGCGGUCGAACUUGCGUGCAAACGCGGCGCCGCUUUUCACCAUCUUGGGAAGGUCGGCCGCCGUGAGCGCGUUCGGGUGCUGCUUCGGGGGCACGUCCCAGGCGAUGUAGUGGAGGUCGUGGUUCACGACGGUGCGUUUGAACGUUUCCGCGUUACAAACCACUGUUUGGAAGUAGCCCUCCGGGGAGGAGAGGAAGUUGGUGUAAUACAUGAGGAGAGUUCUGGGGAGGUUGUCCCACCCCCAUAUGCAGAACUCGGCAAAGUCCCGGGAUAAAGCCACCCAUGCAGAUCCUGUUCAAAAAAUAUGUUAAUAACACUAUGUUCAAAUUUUGAUGUGUUGUCGUUGAGCUACGAAACUUCAUUGUGUUCCAAUUGUUCGUUACGAAGAACGAAUGAUGUAGCAGCUGAUUGAGUUGUCGCAUUCAAACUAAUUAUUUGACAUUUGAUUUAGUCAGUGUGUCAUCUUAAAUUAAAGUUUAGUGGCUCAGUUAUAACGAACUGAAUUCAAAUGAGGUAGAUGAAAUUCACUAUAAUUGGGUGAGCAGUGAUGCAAUUUACUCAAAUUUGUGGCGAAAUCAUAGAAAAUAUGUACCUGUAAAUAGUUUGAAUGCGUUUGGUAGUUCUCUUCUCUGGGUAACCCAGAAGAUAUCUGAUUUGCGAGUCAUGUAGAGUCCAGGAUCUAUUACCAUGGGUUUUGCCCUUUGCGUCCUGUAACAAAACCAAAUUUACUUAAUCAUUUUUAUCUUAUGGAGAAAAAAAAAAAAGAAGAAAUUACAAGGGCCAGUAAUUGAGACUUCAUACUUACUCCUUCCAACCCAAUCUACCUGUGUGCUCCACAAAGUUUAAAUUUCUCGGCAAAGUUGCAAAAACAUGCAGCAAAUCUAAAACCAUGAAACAAAAAGAAAAAAGAGAAAAAAAACCCCUCAAAAUUAGCAACCUCAGAAAGAAAAUGACCUCUAUUAAGGACUUGUUUAGAUGCACAAACAUCUUGUUCUUUUUUAAUUUAUUUACUGCUUAGUCACACAACAAUUGGCUGAUGAGGAAUAUUGAUAUACAUUCAUCACAAGAGAAUAAGCAAGCUAGUAAGUUACUUUCUCAAAUUAAGAUGAAUCAUCUCUUAAGUAAAAUAUAUCAUUCUGAAAAAUUAUGAUGUAUAGAUUUUAUAACAAUCGAAAAGAUAACAUCUAAAUUACAAAUUACGAAUGAAGCGAAUAGUAUGCUUUUUUUUUUCUGAAAUAAAAAAUCGGUUGAGCUUACCAUCUUGUGUGACAAGGGGAUAAUCCGAGGCACUGAGGUUGAUGAACCAAUCCCACUCCUUGCUCUUCUUGAGAAGAAUAGCACAAGCAUGCAGAGUAUUAGCAACCAUGGUUGCUCCUCUGUACGUAACCAUAUUAGCCUUUGCGAUAACAUGCACAUUCCCCACUUUAGCAAAAACGGUCUCAUUCGCGAUGCGCAAAGCGAGCUCCGAUCUCUCGGCGGCCGGCGAUUCUAAAUCCAGAUGAACUACAUACUGAUUUCUCGGAUGGUAAAUUACUUGCAACAAUCUCCAGACCCUAUCCAAAUCGCCUUUUGAUCCGGAAACAAAGUAGGCCAAGCGCGGAACGAAGGACAAAGGGGUCGACGGCGGUGGUGGAGCAGAGGAGGAGGAGGAGGAGGAGGAGUUGAUGUGUGAGUGGACAGAAGCUGUGUUGUUCGUCGAAGCCGUCGUAGAGAAGAUGGUGUAGAAGGAAGAGUUGCGGCCCAUGUUGAAUGAUGUAGCCAAGAGAAAAAUGAAGAGAGUGGUGCUGAAGAGGAAGGGGAAUACCCAUCUCUUGUCCAUUGAAAACAGAGGAAACAGAGGAAACAGAGGAGCUCUUGGGUUCAUCGAGCUCUUGGGUUCAUCAAUUCCAUUCCAUAUGCUUUGCUUUAGAUAAUACAUAGCUCAUUUUUAACAAAGGAAAUGGACAAAGUGAAGAAUGAUUCUAUGAGAUGAGUCCAUCAUAUCUGAGCAAAAAUCACAAGAAAAUCAAAUAAACGAAAAAAAACAGAGAGGUGGUGGUGGAGUUUUUGAUGGGAUUGGGUGUUUAUUGUGUGAGAAAACGCCAAAAACUUGGAUUCAGAUGAUAAAUUCGAUAAUUUGGGGAUGUGGGCACGUGAGUAAACAAGGAAAUAGUAACCAAAGGUAGCAGAGUUUCGCAAUAAAGUAGAUUCUACUUGAAAAAGAAGCAUGGAAAGGAAAGAAUAACAUCCAAUCAAAGGAACUUAUUAAUGCAUGGGGGGAAUAGGAGAACGCAAGGAGAAAACCACGGGAUUGAGGAGUGAAUAGGAGAAUUGAUUGUGGGGGUUACUCCAACCCUCAUAUUUAUUAUAAUUUCACAGGAAAAAAAAAACUUCAGCAGUAAGCGCCCCAACGACACCUCGUUGAGAAACUUUCAAUCUGCUGUCAUGUAUCAACUUUGUCUCUAUUCAAAAGUUAUAAUUCUUCUUUCCACGAUUCUUUCUUUUUUUUUAAAUUUUUAAUAUGAAAAAAUAUCUAACAAAUUUUUGGAUGAAAACAAAACUAUUAAAAAAUAUCUUAAGACUUCCCAUGGAGGUAUUUUUUGCGAGCUCCCCACUAAAAUUUUAUCCCAAUUUCACCGCCUUCGUUUUUUGGCUUAGGCAUAGUUGUAAGCCAUCUUUAGUAAAUACUUAGUAAAGAAAAAUUUUGAAGCUCUCAUGUCGAAAAAAGGUAAGGUGGGGGAUCCAGAAGCAAAAACACUAACCGAAUCUAUAUUUUUUACUUUUCUUUUCAAUAACAGUCAUUUUUAUUAGAGCAUUUGGUGUUAUGAAAUCAAAAAGCGAGAAAAUAAUCUAAUCCUACUUUAUGCUGUAAAACAGAUGUUACAAAAUGAUAAUUUAAUACAAUGUCCUUUUAUUCAAAAUAUUAUUUAGAUAAUGUUUUGUUCCACCAAAUAUCCUCUUAGAAGCAAUGGCUUGUGCUGUAUUAAAAAAAAAAACGGGGGGUUGGUGGGUGGGGUUGAAUAUAAGCUAGGAAUCAGUUUCUACCGUAGUUAAUUCGAAUUCAGAAAAAAUUUGAUACAGGUAUAAUUUGAAUAAAAUUUAUAUUUUAAUUUUUAAAUUUGUAGAAAAAUACGAUUUAGAAAACGGAUUCGUCAAUUAUUCGGAUACGCAAUUUAUACGGAUAUUAUACGUUCACCAAUGAACAAUUUGGGAUAAAAAAUUCAGCUAUUAAACUAAGCUUUUUUCUCUAGAUUUAUGCUACUAGCAUACAGAGUUAUAAAUUUUUAAAAAUAUAAAAAAAGAGAGUUACAAAAUAAAGCAGAUUAAGUAAAAAAAAUAAUAGUAAAUUUUAUUAUCGUCUUCAGCUUCAUCUUUUUCAUUAUCUACAUAUUUCAAAAGUUCAUAAAAUUUUUCAAUAAUUCGCGAAUAAUUUGCGAAUAAUUUGGAAAGGAAUUUUAUCCAAAAAAAUUGCGCAUUUUUUUUGGCUGAAUAGUUCGGUUUAUAAGUGAAUUAUUUGUAAAUAAUAAAUCUAAUCCAAAAAUUCGCAUAUUAUUAUAAUUUUUUAGAAAUAAAUUGUAUAUGUACCGUUUUAUUCGAAUUUUCAAUAAUUCAUGAAUAAUUCGCGAAUUAACUAACUUUGGUUUCUACUAUGACGCCCCAAUUUUUCAGGAGGUCAUCCAUUCUAGCACUACUCCAGUCCGAAUACACUUAACUCUCUUAAUCUCUUGAAUUUUAACACCAUCCAAAAUAUUUAAGUAGGGUUAAGAGUUCUAACCCUAUUAUAUUUUUUAUAUAGAACUAUGUGGAAUCUCACAUCUACUCUAGUUGUUAUGGGAUCUGGGCUACGAUAUCGGAGAGGCAACGGCAAUAUUAUUUUAUUUUUAGUGUUCACAUAAUUUUGAGAUAAUUUUUUGUUUGGAACCGUCGCUGCCAAAUUUUUAUUUAUUUUGCCGUCCACGUUAAUUGACCCUCUCUCAAAUCCUCUUUUCUGUCUGUUUCUAAGCUUUCCAUGUGUACAAUGCCUUUGAGAUUGUACACUUUUCCACUAACUGUCCCUAAAGCAAGUGGUAAAGGAUUUGGUGGUUGGUAACCGAGACCCAAGUUCGAAUCCUAAUUGAUUCACAUUUCUAGCUAAAUUUAUUUUUAAAUAAAAUAAAUGAAGUGGGUAGCGUGCUACCUAUCUCUCUCUCGAAAAAAAAAAAAAGAUUGUACGCUUUUCCCUAUGUCAGUAUGUCACCUCUCUUGUUCUCUUUGUUUUAAAAGCACCUCUUUGUGCCCUUUCUCUCUCAUCUGUGGGUAAUCUCAUGGCUCCCUCUCUCUCUUUGUCCUGUUCUUUUGGCUUUAGUUGCACUGAUAUUUAAAAAGGUUAUUAUUUGCUUUAUGAAUGGCAAAUUUAUUAAAGCUUCAAUCUGUGUGUUAUAAAAAUUAGUGAAAUUUUUUGUUGCAGUAAAAGAUAGCUUUAUUUUUUUUAGCCUGAAAGAAACAGUUAUUAUAGGAGAUUGCCGGCUAGAUGCUUUAUUAAUUAGAUUAUAAAUAAACUACUCUGCAAUCUAUUUGACACUGCGUUACUAAUAUGUUUGCAUUAAUUGUUCCUACAUUUGAGGUUUUAAAACUAUUAGAUUCUGAGUUCCAAACGAUACAUAAUUAUCACGAAAUGUUUUCCGCGUCCAAAUGAUGUGGAUAACAGGAUAAGUAAGUACGAUGCAAAUCCAUUUAAAGUGAAUGUUGUUCCAUUUUAGUUUGCUUUAGGAGACUUAUUAAUGCACCGAGUCCUAAACUCUGGAUCGUAAACAUAGUGGGAUUCAAAUUGAAUUGGUUACAACCUUAGGCCGAUGCUACCACAUCGGAAGGGCCUUUUCUCCACAUCCAACAAUUGUUAAUUGGCCCGUUAAUGACCUAGGCCCAUGUAUAUGGGCCGGGCUCCUCAUUAUUGGGCCUUGGCCCCAAUUAUUACUGACCCAAAUUCCCAUGAGAGCUGAUAUACUACAAUGGGGUAACAACAGAAGAUGUAGAGCGAAAAUUGCUGAUUUAUUGUAGGACAAGUUACACCUUUGGUUUUCAAACUAGGAGGGAACUGCAAACUUUAAGUUAUUAUAAUUUUCGGUUCGAACUUCUGUAUUUAUUGCAUUAAGUCUUUUGAUCCAAUUUAGUUGGUAAGAUACUGAUGUUUUGUUAAUAUGACUGUGCUGAGGCGUUUUAAUCAUUACUAUAUCAUCAACUACGACAUUCGCACAUUAUUGUCACGUCAGCAAUGUAUUACUGUUUAACUGAUUAUAUUUGAGCAAGAAAUUAUAAUGCAUUAAAAUUUGAGGACAAGAAGUGUUCCGUGUCUCUAGUUUGAGGGCCAAAAGUGUAAUUUAACCUUUACUGUACGAGAGGUUCAUCAUAUAUAAUAAAAAACUGGUAGUAUGUAUAGAAAUUUCUCAAUCCUUAUCCAAUCUUUAUUUUACGUACCUAGAGGUUGGUUUGAACUUAUUUUGAUUCGAAAGUUUAGUUUCAAUUGGUGGAAUUGUCUGUCUAAAUUGAUAGAAUAUUUAAUUGAACAAUAGAAUCGACGAAAGUUUACGGACUAAAUUGUUUAUACGAAAAGUUUAAAGACGGAGAUGUGAUAUCGAGAUAGUUCAAGAACUAUUGAUACAUUACACUCAACUUAGAACUAGCAAUUCAAAGGAAAUUACACUCGCUUCGAAAGAUGCAUUUCCACUAUCCGAAAACUACAUAUACUAUAGUACUAGGAUGAGGCAGGAUCAAAAUAGUGAAAUUUUUGUGGGACCUGCAGUCCCGCUAAAAUUAUGGUGACCUUCUAUUGCAUCAUGAUUCGAAAAAGUUGGACGUAGAACGGACUAGACGUUUCUGUCGUAACAUCAGAAGUUGUCACAUCAUACCACCUCAACAGCCGUGCAGUGCAAAUCGAACGUCAACAUCGAUGCCCUCGACUUCGGUACUCGCCUUCCUGCAGCCUCUGCCGCCGCGGGGAUGAGCGGGGCGUCCGUCGAGACUAUCCUUUCGGGCGCGGUGAGCCACUUAGACUGCAUGUACUUGUGCUUCCGCCACGGGCCCAUGUGCAUCCGGUUCUCCUUCAUGCACUGCUUCGCCGCCUCGCACAUGAUCUUCACGAUGUUCUUCAGCCUCUCCAACCUGCCCACGAAAAUCUGCGGUAGGCGGCUCACCAUGCCGCUGUAUUCGAUGCUAACCCUAGCCAUCUCAAACUCCGCUCGGAAGUUGAGCUCGAUCACGAUGCGAGUCGGACCUUUCUUCGCAUUCUUCGUGUCCACCACUACGUCGACAUAGCUGUGCUCCCCUGCAGAAUGUACGGUACAGAGCCAUUUAGUUUCACUCGAUUAAUUUAGCUAAGAUCCUUUGGACACAUUGGCUUCAUUUGAUUCCUCUUUACCAACCUGGUUACCGUAUAGCACUCACACAGUUAUUAAUGUUGUAAACUUUAAAAAUUUUUCACUUCAUAAAAAAUUACCUGUCACGACCUAAAAACGCACUCGUAUAUUCAACUUGUAAAGAAUUUUGUUUUGUUUUUUUGUUUUAAAUGAAACAAACUAUAUAUAUAAAGGAAAACUGUGCUUCCUAUUACUAGAACCAAUCAUAAACAUGUUCCUCAACCAUAUAUAGCUUAAAAGGGACAAUUAUCUGAUCAUGGUCACAACUAGUCAUGUGUCCCAUGUGAUGUUACAAUAUUAUAAUUAAUGUCACAUCAAUAAUAAGAGAAAAAAAAAACCAAAAAAAAAAAAUCAUAGGAUAUGUUUGCAGUACCUGAGGGAAUAUCCGGCGAUCGCCGCCACUUGGACCUGCACAGCGCACUGUUGUAUCCGGCGGCCCGAAGCCGAUCGGCGAUAUGACGCAGCGAACAAUUCCGACAAUCCCUGGCCCCGCGGUUCGCACAGGAGCAGGCGAAUCCGCCAGAUAGCAUAUUCCUCACGGCUUCCUCCGUAUCCGCCCGUAUUCUACUCUCCGCCGUGCUGGUUCGUGCCAAUGCUUCCUAUUAGCCACAUAUUUCGUACACCUAGAUAUUAAUUACUGAACCGCCCAUUUAUAUAAAGCAAAAUAAAAAUAAAAAAUAAAAAUAGAUUUGUAUUAUUUUUUUUUGCGUAUCAAAAUCAUUUCUUAGCGUGUUUAGAUGUUGGAUCGAUCUUUCUAGAUAAACAACAUGAAUUGUUUUAACAAGAUAGCAGAAACUGAUCGAUCAGGAGAAUGUAAAAGGUUUACUUGGAGGAGCUGAUCUUGGGACUCCCAGAAAGCCUUUCUCUCCGCAGCAUUCGCGGUGGAUCCUUCACCGUUGUUGCUGUUGUUGUUGUUGUCGUUGUCGUCGUUGUCUCUGUUAUCAUUGUUAUCCCAAGAGCGCUCCCCUUCGGUUUCUUCGAAGAACCCUAAAACCAUAUCCGAUAAGCUCAGGCUCUCCCCACGAGUACUAUUUCUCAUCUCCCUCCUCCUCGCCUCCUCCAUUGUUGUAUAAAACUCUCUCUCUCUCUCUCUCUUACUUUCUGUGUUCUUGGAUUAGUAAACCUUAUAAUUGAGCCGUUAUAUAUAUAUGAGGUCUCCAAUCGGGAUGGGCCCCAUCGUGCUGACGUGGACGAACGGGUCGCCGCGAUCGAGCCGGGUGGAACAGCGAAGGUACCGUGUGCGCCCGCUUGGUAAGAUUAGGUGGGCCACGUAUGUACGAAGGAAUUAAUCAUUCCAUGCACCGUGUGAAUUCGGUGCACACUAUUUAUCAAUAUUUGAUGAUCAGUAUCUUAAAUACAAAAUCUAGAUUGAUAGAUAAUUAGAUAAAAUCUAUUAUGCUUGUGAAAAUUCAUAAAAAUUUAAUAAUUUAUUAACUAGCUUAAUGUAACUUGAAAUAUAUCAGCAAGCUAAAUAGUUUAAUCCAAAUUUACAAUGUUUGAGCUGAUAAUCUAUAUAUUCAGCACUUUUAGAUGGUUUGAUAGGUUGAAGUUAGAAGCCUAAAAAUAUUCAUAAUUGAAACCUCUCGAUGUAAAGAUUGGCUCUGAAGGUGCCAAGCUUGAUACAAGUUAACAUUUCAACACUUUAUAAUGUCGGUGUAUGAAAUACACUUGAUGCACCAGGUGCAAGCAACAACUGCUUGCUACCUAGGAGAGAUAUACAUGAUGAUGUAGCGUAAGAGUCAAAAGUGGCACAGCGAUGAUCCACGUCAGACACGGUGUCCGGUGGCUCCAAUUAUUUUUGGUGGGGCCCACUACUGUUCCCCCUCCCAAGCUCCCUACGGAAUAUUCCGUCCCCGUUACGCUCCCUCUCUGAGGGAAAAAUCUCACGUGGACCGAGUCCACUACUGUUCCCCCUCCCAAGCUCCCUACGGAAUAUUCCGUCCCCGUUACGCUCCCUCCCUGGGGGAAAAAAUCUCACGUGGACCCAGUCCACCACGUCAGCCAAGAACCAGCCUAAACUUCUCACCUUAAUGCUUGGUUUGGGAUUUUGCAUGCAGAGCUUAUUGCAUCCUCUCAGAGAAGUGCAGUAAAUCAUUACACAAAUUGCAAAUAUUUGGUUAAGAUAUGUAAUAUCCAUCUAACACUUUUUCUUUUUUUUUUGGGUUCCGAUAAAUUUUAAAAUAGUAAUGCUUGUAUUGGAACUGAAUUUGAUAUUGAUAUACAAAUAGAUUCACUAAAUUUACGUAGAAAUGCAUAAACAUACAAACUAAAACUGUAAAUAUAAACGUGACGCAUUCACAUUUUGAGAUUAAAGUAUUGUUGACCGAUUCAAAUUAAACAAAUUAAAUAAUUAAAUACUAAAAUCAAAAUUUUAAAAAUUUGAAUAGCUACAUCAAAGUAAUUCAUAAUUAAAUAUGUUUUUAUAGAUUGUUACUUUAAAUUUAGUCACUAGUUGUAAACUAUAUAAAGUGAGAUGCUCAAACAGCGUAUAUGUUCCGUAUAGGAUAAGCGAGAGGGUGAUUCUUGCGAGAAUGAAUUCCAGUUCUCUGGUGGGGCCCAUUCCCCUCCCCGAAUAUGCUUAAGAAUAGAGAUUAUCCCAAACGUGUUCCAGCUAAUCUCUUGGAUUAUCCCGCAUCUAAUUACUGUUAAUAAACACCGCCAAAAUUGUGCAACUCCCAUCUCAUCCUCAUAAACAGGCUUUAAACGGAGAAAGUAUUGGCUGCACCUGGUGCACCUCAUCAGCUGUGCACCACAGUUCCAUUUCUUUUUUCGCUUCUUUUCUUUUUCCCUUUGGAUUCCGUCCAAUAUUUUGGGAUGAUUAUUUUAUGUACGGUGAGAAGUUACAUUACAAAAUUAUUUUAUUUAUUUUUAUAAUAAUAUUACAUUAUGCAUAUCGUAAUAAAUCAGUUAUAAUAUAUUUUUUAUAGUUCCAAUAAUAAAUAGAAAAGAAUAUUUUUAUAUCAUUUCAACUCUAUUUUGCCUAAUAAUAUUAGGUUGCGUUUAAGACAAACAGGCCCUUAAUCUUCAACCCAUUAUAACUCUAUAAGCUUAUAAGAAUUUAAUUAAUUCGGAAAAGAAUAAACUAUAAAUAAUUCUCAUUUAAUUCUUAAAAAAAUAGAAUUCACUUGAACUCUGAUUUAAUUUAAAUAAAAGAUAAAUUCAACUAAAAUUUUCUUGUUUUGAAUUUCUGUUAACAGCGAAAUUGAAUUGGAAAAAGUAAUUGUUGCGAGCCAAUUCCAAACCAACAGUAAUUUUUAUUUGGGAAAAUUUCUUCAAUACCCUUCCAAGUAGUUCUAAUUUCAUGAAUGCCCUUCAAAAUUUAAAAUUUUCAUAUUUGCCCUCCAAAAGUAUGGAAAAGUUUCAAAAAUACCCUCACUGCUAGCAAUCUGUUAUAUUAGCUUCAAAAUACCAAUUUUACCCUCUAUUUUAAUUUAAUCACCACUCUCACAAAUUAUUUUUUGAAUAUAUGGAGACCCCCUCAAUUACAACCCAUUGUGAAAUAGCCUCCUAAAUUUAACUUUUUAAUUAAAGUCUUCUUAAAUUUUAUUUUCUUAAAUUGAAUGAUUUUUUAUUAUUAAAUUAGAGAUUUUAUCUAAUCCAUUAAUGAUUCAAACAAAUUUAAUAAUUUUAAUAACUUCGUAAUAUAUAAAAUUAAAUAAGUUUCUAUUCAAAAAAGAAAAUUAAUAAAAACUUCGAGGAUUUACUUAUGAUAGUUUUAGUAUAAAUAUAAAAAAAAUUAGUGAAAAAAGUUUGAUUUUUUAACAAAAAGUGAACAAAUUAAGGGUAAAAUUGUAAUUUCAUAUUUUGAAAUAAAAUAAAAAAUUGCUAUGUUAACAGUGAGAGUAUUUAUGAAAGAAAUAUUGUAUUUAGAGGAGUAUUUGUCAAAUUUAAAAAAUUAAAAGGGUAUUUAUAAUAUUUUAUAAUUUUGUGAGGGUACAAAUGAAAUUAACUCUUUUUAUUUUAUGGGCUAAAAAAAUGCUUUUGAAAAUAGCAGUUCACCGAUAGGAAUUAAUAAGCUAGUGCGGCGGACGUACCACGUGUAUUGCGAGAAGCGAACAAUAACUUUAUUUUUCGGUGGUACAUAAAAAUUAUUGCCUGGACUUUUCAAUUGCUACCAAACAACCAGUACGAAUUGCAAUUUUUUGUUUUCAUGGUGAUUAAAAACAAAAUUAUAUUUUGAAGAUGCUUUAGCAAUGGAAAGAAGAGGCGAGGUGAAUGUACAGCUACUUUGGGCGGUCUAUGGCUGACGUGGUGGACUUGGUGCAGGCUUAAUUUCGUGCGAUGCAGAUGAGAAGGCUCACCUUUCCCCCGUCUGUGAAAUACGAUAUUAACAGCUCAACCCUCUCCGGGAUACAUGUACAUUAUAUUUAACUAAAUUUAACUAGAUUUAAUAAAUCAAUUAGUUAACAUUAAAAGCAAUUAGUAUAUGCUAAUAGCACAAUCCCAAAAAAAUUGCAUACUCUUAAAUAUAUUUUUCACCUCAUUUUUGUAUUUAAAUUUUUUUCAUAGCUUAGAAACGAUGAAUAGUCGUAUGAGAAAUGAUAUAAAUUCUGCGCCUUCUCAUCCAAAAAUUUGGACACCCUUUGUAUAAUGUGUGAGUGCUUAUCAUACCAAGAUACGUAAGAGACAAUCGUCAUCUUAUGGACUUAGCAUAUUAUAAACUUAAAAUUUGUGUGACUAAUGAGACUAUAUAAUUAUUUGUGCAUGCUUUUGGAAGCACGGAGUCUUUCGUACUUCCAGAUUAUUUUUGAUGUUGCGACUUUCGAAUCGUCGAUCGGUUCCGUUAAACUUGAUCUAGAGUAUUUGAAGUAUCAAGAAAAUAAAUUUUAUGAUUUUUUGAUAUCAUUUACCUAGUGAUCGAAGUGGCUCAAAAUCAAUAAUUUUAAUGACCGUAGUGAGCCGUUUGCAGGUUUAACGGUGUAUAAAUAUUCAAAUCACGUGAAAUUUUGAUAGAAAAUUUUUUAUACUAUAUAAAAUAAGAUCAAUAUCUUUGAUCUAAAAUUUUAAUGUCAUAUUAUCACGUUUUGUAAGAUUUUUAUUUUCAGCCGUUGAUUUUGAGCCCCUUCGUUCACUAGGCAAAUAAUAUUAAAAAAUCGCAUAAUUUAUUUUCUAGAUACUUCAAGUACUUUAGAUUAAGUUUAACGGAGCCGAUCGACGAUUCAAAAGUCGCAAUAUGAAAAACGAUCUGGAAACACGAAAGACUCCGUGCUUUCGAGAACAUAGUAGCCUCACUCUAACUAUUUUAUAGUUUUUGAACUUCUUAAGCUAACUCAUUAAGCCAUGCUGUAGCCUUGCCGACAUAAUGCUAAAAACAUAUCACAACUGAGAUACUCCGAUUGUUGGCAUUUUAGCAAGCCAAAUAGGCUCACCGAAUGGCAAUAGGCAUCGGAUAAAAGGGUCCCACAAUAUGUAUAGUGUGUGGCGUUCAUGCCAAUUCGACAAGUCUAUUCAGUAGCACGGAAAAAAACUAAAAUCAUUCUCCUUAGAGAAUGGUGAGAAGUCUUUUUCCAUAUACCUAAUUUUGU
RNAcentral lists this long non-coding RNA (50148 nucleotides) under Ananas comosus (pineapple). RNAcentral's name for it is "long non-coding RNA (ACOM_LNC018811)". The record is from RNAcentral. Lineage: Eukaryota; Viridiplantae; Streptophyta; Magnoliopsida; Poales; Bromeliaceae.